UGAGCUAUGUUAUACCUUGGAAAUUUUGCACUGCAUGCUUGUGUGCAGUGUAAUCUGGUUUCCUACUUGUACGGAGCAAUAUUCUUAUUAGAGCCAAGAAGACGUUGAUAUUGGCUGUACCAGCUGUUCUUGAUGUGGAAUUAUGUUGUUGGUGUUUGACUGAUGUUCUAAAGUGUGCUAGCUUUAUAUUACGGGUGUUCAAAAGUGUACUAUCUUUAUUUUGCGAUUACUGUGUCAUGAUUCCCAUUUCUAGGAAAUUUAUCUGGGUGCUUGUCAAUUUUGUUCAUUUUCUCUAUUUUUAACAACAAUUUGGUAUGCCCCAAGCAUGUAAUAUCCGACAAAGUUUAACAAUGGUUGUGACUAUUGCUAUUGGACAAAUAUUAAAUGCAUCAUCAACAACAAGCACAAAUAGCAUGGACAAAUACUGCGCAAUGGAAGUAUCAGGGCAAAUAUUGUGACAUGGAUAAGGGCAAUUGCUGCAAAGCCAUGUCUGUAGUCUACAAAGCAUUAUUACAUCGAACAAAUGAAUAUCCACACCAUUUAGUUACAGACACAAAUGGACAGAAACUAUAAAUGUUUGCUUUACAGAAAGAUUGCGCAGUGUAGACAAGCACCAUUGAUGAACAUUUGCUCACCGAUUACACCGUCAAUGGCGGAAGGAAGGACAACAACCUGGGCAGCUGUUUUCAGUCUCACAUGAUAGGACUUGGUCGUAAACUUGCUUAACUGCAGCAGCCACCUGAUUGAGAGGACGAGCCAGCACCACCUCCGGAUGCAUUGGGGACAGCAUAGCCAACUUUGAUUCCGUAGGACUACAGCGAAUAAGGAAAAAACAUUAUACAUUGAGAACAUUAGUUUGGGGGAGGAACAGUGCUAGCCUAGCCAAUCAGCGCUACAGGAAAUGAAAACAACUACUGUUUCAGAAUCAAGUAGAAGAGACGUUCUUAGAAGAAGAAUGAAUGUAAAUCAAACUUUGGUUUCAUCUAUUCGCCAAGGACGAAAAGCUGCAUUUAUGGGGUAUCGAAUGGAACAAAAGGAGCUGCCAAUGACAAAUGAAUAAAUGGCACAAAUCAAAAAAUACAGGAAACAAGAAAAGAGAGAAUAUAUAACUGGAGACUCAUCUAAUCAUCUAUCCACACUCAUCCCCUGAUGCUUAGAUGAUCAAAUGCUAAGAGAAGCACAUGAUCGCACUUCCAAUUACUACCUAACACAGAAAAGUUUGUUGACCUGCCCAAGUACACCUGUCCUCCUACCAAAACUUAAAUGCUUACAACCUGAUAAGAUACUGGUAGGAACGCAGACUAAGGCAUAGCCUAGUGGUGGGAAGGGGCUGAUGCCUUCCCACCCACCCAGGUUCAAGGCUUGGUACUUGCAAUUUGGGUUUGUUGCACCAAUUAUGUUGUAGGGGGUUCCCUUACAGUCUUUCUAUCAAAAAGAUACUGGUAGGAACUUGUACCCUACCAGGCCUGGGGCGUAAGCAGUAAGGGAAUGAGGGAGCUGGGCGAGGCGAUGAGCGGCCGCGCCGGCGGCGGCUAGGGUUAAAGGCGGCUAGGGUUCCGGCUCCUCUGGGAGCCGGGCAAUAGAGAUAAUAAUCUUCUUAUUGCUUGAUUCCAAAAGGAGUCUUACAGCCUAUAUUUAUAACCUAGAUAACUUGCAUAAGAAUUAACCUAAGAUAACUUGCAUAAGAAUUAACCUAAGAUAACUUGUGGGCUAAGAUUGCCCGGUGGGCCUAGCUAAACCGGCCAUAACACUUCUCCCCGCCUGCACAAACAGCUCGUCCUCGAGCUGUAAGGUGGGAAAGCGCUUGCGGAACUCCUCGAGGCGAUCAACCAGCGUCAAACACCUUCUCGACAGCUGGGGCGGCCAGGUCGGCGGCGAUGGCGUCCUCCGGAAUGUAGUCUGCAACCUCCAGGUAGAAGAGUCGCGGGCAGGCAUGGCCGGGCGUGUAGGGCUCGUCGCAGUUGAAGCACAACCCUUGGCGGCGACGCUCGAGUAGCUCGGCUGAGGUGAGCCGGCAGAACGGGCGUGCCGCGAUCACGGCGAGGGGUGCCGCAGAAGCCUGUGCAGGCCGACCCUGUGCGGAAUCCGGCCCGGGUAGCGACCCAGCGGUCCGGGACGAUGAUUCCUGCUGGAUGGCCACCGCCCGGCGCUCGAAAGCGCGGGGGCGUGGUACAUGGCCGACUGGAGAUCCUGGGGUCCCCGAAGCUCCACGUCCACGUGGAUGUGAUCCGGAAGUCCACCGACAAAGAGGUCGGCCCGCUGCUGCGCCGUCACACUCGACGCAUGGCAUGCCAGGGCCUGGAAACGGUCGGCGUAGUCCUGCACCGUGGAGGUGAAGGGAAGGCGGCCGAGCUCCGCCAGGCGGCUCCCGCGAACCGGAGGCCCAAAGCGAAGGAGGCAGAGCUCGCGGAAGCGCUCCCAAGGGGGCAUGGCGCCCUCGUCCUGCUCGAGGGCGUAAUACCAGGUCUGUGCCGCGCCGCGGAGGUGAUACGAGGCGAGCCAGGUACGCUCCGAUGCGAGGGUGCGCUGCCCGCGAAAGAACUGGUCGCACUGGUUGAGCCAGUUGAGGGGGUCCUCCGUGCCGUCAUAGGUGGCGAAAUCGAUCUUGGCGAACCGUGGCGGUGUCUGGGUCGGAGCGCCGUGUCGAGCUGGCUCAGAGGUGCGGAGCAGCGAGGCGGGUGGCGCUUGGUCGGAGUACUCCGGGUAGGGACCCGCGGAGCUGGAUGGCCCGCCGAACUGCGGAAACGGGGUCGGCUGCUCCGGAGCCGUGGUGUAGACCGGCGAUGGCGAAGACCCAGCCGCCCAUGCUGGAAGUGGCAACGGGGAGGGCGGGAGCCGGACCUGAUGAAUCGGGAGGCCGGUCGAUGAGGGUGCCCCCGAGCUAGGCAGGGGCGGUGCCGGUGGUUGGAGCGUCGGUGGCGGGGGGUGGGCGGGGGCGUCGGUGGCCGCGGGAGGGGGUGGCUGCAAGUACCACAGAGGGGCCGCGGCCGGCGUAGUCCCGCCGGGGUGUCCCGCUGGAAACGGCAGCAGGGGUUGCCCGGUGCAGGUCGGCGCGGAGAACGGCUGCAGCGGUCCGGUGGCCGCCGCCUGCGGCAUCUGCUGUAGCGGCCAGGGGCCCAAGGACGGCGUGGGCACCAAGGGCCAGAGGGCGCUCCGUACGGAGAGACGCCCUGGGGCGGCCACGGCGUGUGGCCGUAGGCGGCAGGGGGCGCCGUCGGCAGGGGCAUGUAGGGCCCGGCCGCGUACUGCUGCUAUUGCAGGCAGAGGCUCUGGACAGCGGUGACGAGGUCCUGCAGGGUGGCCGUGACCUGCUUCGGUGUGAAGACGGCGGACGGCGGUGGCGCAGGAGGAAUUGUGGAGGACGGCGCGGUCGGUGUCGCGGUGGAGACGGGGCCCGCCAGCGUGGUUGAUCCGGCGGCGGACGUCGUCGGCGCGGUGAGGGACGGCGCCGGCAGCAUCGGCGCGGUGGAGCCGCUGGAAAGCGCCGGCAGUGGUGGUGGUAGCGACAUGAUCGGAACUUGGUCUCUGAUUACCAAAUUGGUAGGAACUUGUACCCUACCAGGCCUGGGGCGUAAGCAGCAAGGGAAGGAGGGAGCUGGGCGAGGCGAUGAGCGGCCGCGCCGGCGGUUGGGCGCCAUCGCAGAAGAGGAGGGAGAUGGCGGCGGUGGCUAGGAUUCCGGCUCCUCUGGGAGCCGGGCAAUAGAGAUAAUAAUCUUCUUAUUGCUUGAUUCCAAAAAGAGUGUUACAGCCUAUAUUUAUAACCUAGAUAACUUGCAUAAGAAUUAACCUAAGAUAACUUGCAUAAGAAUUAACCUAAAAUAACUUGUGGUCUAAGAUUGCCCGGUGGGCCUAGCUAAACCGGCCAUAACAGAUACCCUCUAGACAUAUUACCAAGAUCUAUAUGGAUCUACAGUUGCACAUUUUUAAGAUCUCUUGGGUCUCACAUGGAACAAGCAACAUAUCCCCAAAGCCAUUUUGUUGCAUUUUCUUAUGACAAGAUCUCCAGUAAAAAACUGUUAUACUCCCUCCGUUCCUAAAUAUAAGUCUUUUUAGAGAUUCCAAUAUGGACUACAUACGGAUGUAUACAGACGUAUUUUAGAGUGUAGAUUCACUCAUUUUGCUCCAUAUGUAGUCCAUAUUAUAAUCUCUAAAAAGACUUACAUUUAGGAACAGAGGGAGUACAAGUUAUGUAUGGCACCAGAAGGAGACCAGACCAAUAUAUUUAACUUGGUUAUUUGAUAAACAGAAAAUCCAAGCAAUUUAACACUCACCUCAUUAGAUACAUCAAAAACACCAUCUUGGAUUUUCUUGUAUAUUGUUCCAGCCGUCUUAAUGAAUGCCUGCACCACAAAAAGGAUGUGAGUUUUCUUUUUGGACACAAACUAAAAAGUGUAAUCCCACAAAGCACACUACGAAUAAACCAUAACCUCCUCAACAUUUUGUGCUGUUUUUGCAGAUGCUUCCAUAAAGACUAGACCAUGCUCCUUGGCGAACUGUUCACCCUCCUCGUAGCUGACAGCCCGUCUAUGAGACAGAUCACAUUUGUUUCCGAUUAACAUCACUGUCAUAUUGGCAUUUGCAUGCUGUCUUGCAUCUUCUAGCCAGCUCGCAAGAUGGUUAAAAGUUUCCCUCCUGAAGUAUGGUCAGUCAGGUGGAAGGACCAUUAGCAUGCAGAAAUUUGAACACAAAAAGUGUUGUAUUCCCAAACCUACUGUACCUGGUGAUAUCAUAAACCAAAAGAGCACCAGCAGCACCUCUGUAGUAUGAUCUUGUUAUAGAUCUGAAUGAUUCUUGGCCAGCCUGUAAUGUGAAGAAAUGAUAGGUAUGAGAUGGAGGGCUCUGUGAAGUCGAACUCAACAACCACGGUGGAUCCUGGACUACAGAAACAUGCAAUCCCAAGCAAAAUCACAUGCCAAUUUAGUUAAGCAGUCAUCAACAGCAAAACUUGUUAUGUAACUAAUGAAAAGCAAAUCAUAACAUGGUAUGAUGAACAAGCUAAAAGAACAAGUAUAAACAUGAGUGCGAAGCUCUGAAGUUAAGUGGCCACAAAAGGACCCCUUCGGUAACAAACCCCAUAUUGGGGGGAAAUGCAGUCAAACCAUUAGAACUUUAAUUAAAAAAAACACCUUGGUGAAUACGUACUAUUUAGACCGUCUCAAGAAAUGCAUACUAGUAGGUUUAUCUGGGAAACACUGGAUUACUAUAAUCUUUUAUUAGGCUUUGCAAAUAUAUUACAUAUUACAACGGAAAUUGGUGACCAAUAGAGAGAUGGAAGUUGGUUUUUAGAAUCCGUGCCAAAGCAGCAAUGCCCAAAUGGGGCAUCCUUUUCUGACCAGAGAGAGUGAUCCAUAUCUAACCAAGAUAACUACUGUAGUAAUAUACUGUAAACUAGCAUAUGACAAGACAAUAAAACAAGGAAUGUAUGCUUCAUUUACUCCCGGGGGGCAAUACUGCAAGCAGUAGGAGGGAAAAUAACUAUACUGGCCAAAAUUAAAUUGCAUCUGAAUCAAGAGUUGCUAGUUGUAACAGAAAGGGCACGGCGUGGAGCACGAACCGUGUCCCAAAUCUGGAGCUUGAUGGGCUUGUUGUCGAUGGUGAUCAUGCGGGCGCCGAACUCGACGCCGAUGGUGAGGUCGUGCACGGGCUGAAACCUCUUGUCGGUGAACUGCAGCAGCAGGCAUGACUUGCCCACGCCUGCAAAAAGAAAAGCAAUCACGACGCGCUAAAAGAAAAGCAAGCGGCGCGCAUGGGCCAAGAAAGCAGCUCAGCGGCCUCGCGGAUCCGAUCCUAUUCCUACCCAGGGGCCAUACGGGAGAGAUUCGGGAGGGGCAGGGGAGAGAUUUUGCGAACCUGUGUCGCCGAUGAUGAUGUACUUGAAGAGGUAGGCGUACGACAUGGUCGAUCCCGGCGGCGGCGAACGGAUCGGAGGAGCGGCGAAUUGCCAAGGAUUCUAGCGUCUGAUUGGUUUAAGAGAAGGGAGGGGGAGGGGAAUUGCGGGCGCUUGUGCAACCGACGCACGCGACAGCUAUUUUGAUGUUGGCCGACCAAAAACUCGAGAGGCAGCCCACGGUGCGCCUAGCUGGCUGGAUGCGCGUGCCACGUUCAUGCUCGUCUCGGCCCUUCGCGGCCAAGGAAUCCACGUUCAUGCUCGUCUCGGCCCUUCGCGGCCAAGGAAUCCGGCUGGAUCUGCUUCCAGGGGGAAAGUAUCAGAUGCUCCAAAGCUUGGUGUACUCCCGGUGCUCCAAAUUCAAAAAAUAUUUUUUAAAUAUUUCAAAAAUUCAGAAAAAAAUUUGUGAAUGUUCAUAAGGAAUAUGACUACAACCCCUAAAAAUUUCAGGUCCAAACUCGAAAUACACAUUUAUAAACAAAAAGUUGAAAUCCAGAUGUAAAUAGUAUUCAUGUUGCCUUUGUUUUUUUAACACUAUUCAUGCUAGAUUUCACGUUUUUGUUUUUCAAUGUGCGUUUCAAGUUUGGAGCUGAAAUUUUUAGGGGUUGCAGUCACAUUGCUUAUGAACAUUCAUAAUUUUUGUCGGAUUUAUUUGAAACAUUUAAGAAUGUUUUUUUUUGAAUUUGGAACAUCGGGAGUACCCUAAGCUUGGGAGUACAUUAGACUUUCCCUCAUUUCAGGUGUUUCUUUUGCUGAUUUGGACCAUGAAGGUCUCCAUUUACUGAUAAUCCCAUCGUCUUGGUCUUCAUGCACUAAAUUGGCAGCCUUUGGGGAUCGCCUUGGGAACUAGUGGAUGGCCUUGCUCCCUUAGCACAAAAGAGGAAAGCAUUCCCAUCCGCGCCUACUGGCGCACCUCUAGCUUCGCUCGUCGCCAUGCACAUCACCCACGUGAAGGCACAGGGCCGCGUGACUCUACCGAACUGCUCUUGACUUGCACGCCUCCGCGAGGGGCCUUGGGAGGCCGCCUUGCUGGAGGGCUUCACGGGGCUCCUGGUGGCGCUCACUGACGUGCGCCUCGCGAGGGUCUUGCUCGUGAAGCCCUGGUGGAGGGCCAGCCUUGGGCUUCCUGGCGGGCGCCGCGCACUGGGUCGCAGGCAGACGGGCCUGGGUACCCCCAGUCUCACGGGCACGACAGUAGCCCCCGUGCCAGCGGUGCGCAUGACUCCGCCCGCUAGGUGGAGCGAAAUGGCGAGGACCCCAACCGCCUGCUGUCCAAGCUUGACGCGUGGCGCCCGACGAGACGUGGGGCGCCCCACUUCUCCCACGACGCCUCGGCAACCGCCCGGGCUAACAUAAAAUCUGCAUGCGCACGGCGUGAGGCCAUCAUUGCCCUCUCUAUCUUGCAUCUCGAUUGCUUGUAUCUGCCUUGGUAUUUCCCAGAAAAGGAGAGGAUGAUGUAGCACAACAACAUUAUGCAUUUCCCUCAGUUAUGAAACCAAGGUUAUCAAUCUAGUAGGAGAACCAAACAACACUAUGUAAAAACUCACUUGCACACAAAUAACAAAUACUUGCAACCCAACGUGUAAGAGGGGUCGUCAAUCCCUCCUCGGUUUUGAGAUAGAUAAAAUCAUAUGAGAUUUGAUAAAUAGAUCUGACAAAACACAAAAUAAAAUAAUAAAUAAAAAGUGCAGCAAGGUAUUUUUGGGUUUUUAGAAUAAUAUAUCUGAAAAUAAUAUGAUAGGAAAUAGACCCAGGGGCUGUAGAUUUCACUACUAGCUUCUCUCGAGAAAAUAGCAUACGGUGGGUAAACAAAUUACUGUUCGGCGAUUGAUAAAAGAGCAAAUAAUCAUGACGAUAUCUAAGGCAAUGAUCAUGUAUAUAGGCAUCACGUCCAAAAUUAAUAGACCGACUCUUGCCUGCAUCUGCUACUAUUACUCCACACAACGACUACUAUCCAGCAUUGCAUCUAGUGUAUUAAGUUCAUGGAAAAACGGAGUAAUGCAAUAAUAACGAUGACAUGAUGUAGACAAGAUCUAUUCAUGUAGGAAUAGACCCCAUCUUUUAUCCUUAAUGGCAACGAUACAUGCGUGUCAUGUCUCCUUCUGUCACUAAGAAUAAGCACCGCAAGAUCGAACCCAUCACAAAGCACCUCUUCCCAUUGCAAGAAAAAUCAAUCUAGUUGGCCAAACCAAACAAAGUUUCGGAGAAGAAAUACAAGUCUAUAAAGAUCAUACAUAAAAGUGUUCAGAGAAGACUCAAAUAAUAUUCAUAGAUAGAACUGAUCAUAAACUCACAAUUCAUCACAUCCCAACAAACACACCGCAAAAAGACAUUACAUCAAAUAGAUCUCCAGAAACAUCAAGAAGAACAUUGUAUUGAAGAUAAAAAAAGGCAUCUAGCUACUGCCUACGGACCAGUAGACCUGUGGGAAACUAAUCACGCAUCAUCGGGGGAGCACCAAUGAGGGUGAUGAACCCUUCCGUUAUUGUUUCCGCAGUCCGGCAAGGUGCCGGAAUAGGGCUCUAGAUUGAAUCUUGUGGUUCUGGAACUUGCGGCAUCUCGAAUUGUGUUUUGUCGACUCCCCUAGGGUUUAUGGAAUAUCUGAGUAUUUAUAGAGCAGAGAGGCGGUGGAAAAGAUCACUGUGGGCCCCUGUAAUGCCCUCGAUGCGGCUAUAUCUCCUACGUGUCGAAGCACGACUUAGAGGCAUAACUGCAUUGAAAGCAAUGUCGCAAGUAAGGUAAUCUUCACAGCAACCCAUGUAAAAAGAUAAUAGGGGGAAAGGAUACAUAGUUGGCUUACACUCGCCACGUCACACAAAUACAUGAAUAACAUUACAAUCAUCCAAUGCACUCAUGGUUCGACUACGGUACCAAAAUAAAAGAUCAACCCCAACAUGCGACACGGUCCCCGAUCGCCCCAACUGAGCACCACUACUGAUCAUCAGGGAAAGACACAUAGUAACGACGAGAGUCUUCGUCAAACUCCCACUUGAGCUCAAGCGCAUCGUCUGGAGCGGUAUCAUCGGUCCCUGCAUCUGGUUUGGAAGUAAUCUGUGAGUCACGGGGACUCAGCAAUCUCGCACCCUCGCAAUCAAGACUAUUUAAGCUUAUAGAAAAGGCAAGGUAAUAUGUGGAGCUGCAGCAAGCGACUAGCAUAUAUGGUGGCUAACCUGUUCGCAAAAGAGAGCGAGAAGAGAAGGCAAAGCACGAACAAAGAACUAUGAUCAAGAAGUGAUCCUAUAACAACCUACGUCAAGCAUUACUCCAAUACCGUGUUCACUUCCUGGACUCCGCCGAGAAGAGACCAUCAUGGUUACACACGCGGUUGAUUCAUUUUAAUUAAGUUAAGUUUCAUGUUAUCUACAACCGGACAUUAACAAAUUCCCAUCUGCCUAUAACCACGGGCACGGCUUUCGAAAGUUCAAAUCCCUGCAGGGGAGUCCCAACUUAGCCCAUCACAAGCUCUCACGGUCAACGAAGGAUAUUCCUUCUCCCGAGACAUUCCGAUCAGACUCGGCAUCCCGGUUCUACAAGACAUCCUCGACAAUGGUAAAACAAGUCCAGCAACACCGCCCGAAUGUGCCGACAAAUCCCGAUAGGAGCUGCACAUAUCUCGUUCUCAGGGCACACUCAGAUGAGACAUCCUACGAGUAAAACCACCCCUCAAGUUGCCCCGAGGUGGCCCCGCAGUCUACUCGGUCGGACCAACACUCAGAGGAGCACUGGCCCGGGGGGGGGGGGUUAAAUAAAGAUGACCCUUGAGUCUGCAGAACCCAAGGGAAAGAAAAGGCUAGGUGGCGAAUGGUAAAACCAAUGUUAGGCAUUGCUGGAGGAGUUUUAUUCAAGGCGAACUGUCAAGGGGUUCCCAUUAUAACCCAACCGCGUAAGGAACAUAAAAUCCGGGAACAUAACACCGAUAUGACGGAAACUAGGGCGGCAAGAGUGGAACAAAACACCAGGCAUAAGGCCGAGCCUUUCACCCUUUACCAAGUAUAUAGAUGCAUUAACUAGAUAAGAGAUAUUGUGAUAUCCCAACAAGUAAACAUGUUCCAACAAGGAACAACAUCUCCAUGUUCCAACAAGGAACCAACUUCAAUCUUCACCUGCAACUAACAACGCUAUAAGAGGGGUUGAGCAAAGCGGUAACAUAGCCAAACAAUGGUUUGCUAGGACAAGGUGGGUUAGAGGCUUGGUUCAACAAUAUAGGAGGCAUGAUAAGCAAGUGGUAGGUAUCGCGGCAUAGGCAUAGCAAAAGAGCGAGCAACUAGCAAGCAAAGAUAGAAGUGAUUUCGAGGGUAUGGUCAUCUUGCCUGAGAUCCUACAAGGAAGAAGAACGAGUCCAUGAAGAAGACAAACGGACGUAGUUGAACGAAUCCUCACAAACGCGACGUUAUCGGAACUAACCCGAAGAAGCAACACCGGAAAUAAGCAAACAACAUAGUAAACAACCACCACAUAGACAUGGCAUGAUGCACAAACAAGUAUGAUGCAUGUCCGGUUUAAAGAGGGCAUGUCAUGGCAAAGUGCACAAGCAAUCCUACAAAUUAAGUGGAGCUCAAUAUGCAACGAGUUGCAUAUUGACGGAACACCACAUGACUUAUUUAGUUCUCUCUUGUUUAGGUACCCAACAAAUUAAAUGUUGUCAACCAUGGCAAGGGGUGAAGCAUAAGUAAACUAACUAUCUAGUCAAGUUUAAAUGAGGCCGGAAAUAACAAACAACAAUUCCGGAAACUCCUCAUGUGCAUAUUUUAAGGUUUGGUACUGUUCUGCCCUAAACCAUGUUUUAGAGUUGUUAAACAUGCAAAGUAAGGCCACCAUGUUAAACUAGGAAUUUUUCUACCCUAUUUACAUAUAAAGUUUGUUAAGUUUGGAGCAACGGUUAUUUAGUUAUGAAAUAAAGCAUUUUAACAUGGCAUAGGAGCAAAUUUAACCAAGCAACAUUUUAAACAAGUCAAACAUUCAUGAAAGUUGCAAAUUAUUAAUCUACACAAAAUUCUAAGCAUUUUUCAUAAUUAGAUCAUUUUAAACCGAUGCAUGGUUAUUUAGUUAUUUAAUGCAUGAAGCUGAGGGGUUUUUCUGGAAAAACUACAGUUUUCUGGAUAAUGUUGAAUUCGCAGAGACUGGAAAAAAGACAUUCACGGGCGCAUCUAUAAACUGGGCUGCACAGAAGAGGAAUGAGGCGCUCAACACCUCGGGCCUUGAGGCCUUGGAGAGGCCGCAGCCCACGCGAGCAGGGGAGGCCACUCGGUCCAUGUGGAGGCAGAGGACGAGGGGAGCGGUCAACGCGGGCGCGGGCGAGCGGGACUUGGCGCUGUCCUCGCUUGGGGAGGCCGGGCGCUGACUCGCUGCUCCUCCCGCAGCGAGAUGAAGCAGGGGCGUGGCGCUUGGCGAAACGGGGGCAGCAGCGGCGGAUGGAGCUUCAACGGGCAGGCGAGGUGGAGGCCGCCGGGAGCGGAGCAGAACGGCGCGAGGCGGGACUUGGCAAGGCGGCGACCUGCGGGAUUCACCGGCGUCUGCACUUGCGGCAACAGGGCGACGCAGGCGCGGCAACAGGGAGGCCGGCGGGACUUACCGCAGCAGGACCGACCGGAGGAGGAACUUGGCGCAUCAGGGCUUCACGGGAGGGCAGAGGAGGACCCGACCCGUGGCCAGGGAUGCAGUAUCCGGUGAAGAACAACAGCGAACGGCAAUGACCGAGGACGGUGGCGCGACGCUCCACUUCUCCUGUGCUCGUGAACAGAGAGAGAGAGAUAAGAGAAAGAGCAGGGAGAUGGAUAAAAGAGAGAGGGGGAGGAAGGAGAGUGGGAUGGCCUGGUCGCCGGCAGCUCGAACCAGUGGCCGGACGGCGGGGCACGGAUGCCCGAGGAGCUCCUAGACAGGGGCUCGGGCGGCUGCAGGCGCGAGCAAGCGGGAGGCUCGCAGUUGAAGAGCUUGGGCAGGGGAAGGCAUCCAUGGGGGAUCGGGAGGAGCUCGGGCAUAGAGAGAGCGUCGGGCUCCAGAUCGAUGCGAGGAAGGGGCGGCCUUGGGGGUGGUUGCAGGAGGGGGGUGGUUGGUUGGUUGGAUCGAUGGAGGGAUUGGGUGGAUCGGGAUGGAUCCCGAGGAAGGAGAGGAGUGGAUGACUGGCGGCGGCGCGAUGGGACAACGGGCUAGAUUUUAGGGUUGCUGCCUAGGGGAUUGGUCUAUAUAUAUAGCACUGGAUUUUGGUUAGGGGCUAUUUCGUGCCUCCGAUCGAAAUCGGACGGUCGGAAAAAAAUAGGCUAGGGAGUCCAAUAAAUAAAACAAUGAUAUUUUGUAGAUGUUUGGGGAUGUUCCGGACCCAACGGUGACGACUCCCCGGGUUGGGUUCGGGACAACUUCCGGGCGCGCGCGAGGAGGACCGCGAGCUGACGAGAGAGAUUAGGUUGGGCCUGACGGUGGUAGUGGACUGUGAAGAAGGCCUCAGACUGAGAAAAGAGAAGAGCGAAAGGCCCGGCGACUGUUUUCGGAGACCGAAAACGUCCGACGAUUGGCCGGCUAUACUGCCGCUAUAGUUUAACGGUUGGGCUAUCAAACGAACUCCAAACGCGAUGAAAUUUGACAGGCGGUCUUCCUACACUAAAAUAAGACCGCACGCCAACUUUCAUCCCAUUCCGAGAACAUUUUCUGGCCACUUAUGAAAUAAUAUUUCGGACAUGCCGCGGGCACGUGCAAGUGUGGCUGGGCUCAGAACAGACAACAAAAGGAACUGGGGGAACCCAGACGAAUGCAGGUUUUGAAAACAUGAUGAUGCAAUGCACAUGAUGACAUGAUAUGGAAUGCAUGACACGCAAGCAAAAUAUAAGGCAACAAUAGCGAAUAACUGGAAGACACCUGGCACAUCGGUCUCGGGGCGCUACAGCCCCACAGGGCACCAGAGAGCGCUUGGGGCCUCUAGCGCGCCCUAGUGUAUUGUGGGCCCCUCGGGCCUCCUCUGGUACACCUCCUGGGCUCCAUGGGUCUCUUAUGGGCAGAAAAAAAUCUCCAAAAAGUUUCGCUGCAUUUGGACUUCGUUUGAUAUGGAUUUUCUGCGAAGUAAGAAACAAGCAAAAAACAACAACUAGCACUUGGCACUGAUACGUCUCCAACGUAUCUACUUUUCCUAAUGCUUUUCCUCUUGUUUUGGACUCUAAUUUGCAUGAUUUGAAUGAAACUAACCCCGAGCUGACGUUAUUUUCAGCAGAACUACCAUGGUGUUGUUUUUGUGCAGAAAUAAAAGUUCUCAGAAUGGAACGAAACUUUGCGAGGAUUUUUUAUAUAAAUAAAGAGAAUUUCUGGAGCCAAGAUCCACCGGAGGGGGGCACCUGGGUGGGCACAACCCAUCAGGGGGGCCCAACCUGGUGCACCCAGGUGGGUUGUCCCCACCUGGUGGCCCCGCAGACCUCAACCUUGAUACUGUAAAAUCACAUAUUUGGAGAAAACAACCAAGGAGAAAGAAUUAUCGUGAUCCGCGAGACGGAGCCGCUGUCACAUCCUGUUCUUCAUCGGGAGGCCAGAUCCGGAGUCCGUUUGGGGCUCUGGAGAGGGGGAUCUUCAUUCUUCGUCAUCACCAACCCUUCUCCAUCGCCAAUUCCAUGAUGCUCCCCACCGGGAGUGAGUAAUUCCUUCGUAGGCUCGCUGGUCGGUGAGGAGUUGGAUGAGAUUCAUCAUGUAAUUGAAUUAGUUUUUUUAGGGUUUGAUCCCUAGUAUCCACUAUGUUCUAAGAUUGAUGUUGAUAUGACUUUGCCAUGCUUAAUGCUUGUCACUUUGGGCCCGGGUGCCAUGAUUUCAGAUCUGAACCAUUUAUGUUAUCACCAUUAUAUCCAUGUUCUAGAUCCGAUCUUGCAAGUUAUAGUCACCUACUACGUGUUAUGAUCCGGCAACCCUGGAGUGACAAUAGUCGGGACCACUCCCGGUGAUGACCGUAGUUUGAGGAGUUCAUGUAUUCACUAUAUGUUAAUGCUUUGUUCUGGUUCUCUAUUAAAAGGAGGCCUUAAUAUCCCUUAGUUUCCAUUUGGACCCCGCUACCACGGGAGGGUAGGAAAAAAGAUGUCAUGCAAGUUCUUUCCAUAAGCACGUAUGACUAUUUACGGAAUACAUGCCUACAUUAUAUUGAUGGACUGGAGCUAGUGUCGUAUUGCCCUAGGUUAUAACUAUCUCAUGAUGAAUAUCAUCCAACAAGUCACUGAUCCAAUGCCUACGAAUUUAUCCUAUAUUGUUCUUGCUAAGUUACUACUACUAUCAUUACUGUUGCACUUGCUACAAAAUUAUUGAUAACACUGUUACCGUACCAUUGAUGCUACUACUAUUAUCAAAACUAUCAUAUUACUUUGCUACUGAUCGCGUUGUUGUAGAUAAUUAAUCUCCAGGUGUGGUUGAAUUGACAACUCAGCUGCUAAUACCUUCAAAUAUUCUUUGGCUCCCCUUGUGUCGAAUCUAUAAAUUUGGGUUGAAUACUCUACCCUCGAAAACUGUUGCGAUCCCCUAUACUUGUGAGUUAUCAAGACCUUUUUCUGGCACCGUUGCUGGGGAGCAUAGCUAUAUUUGUUGAGUCACUUGGGAUUAUUAUCAAUUUAUUACUAUGAAGAAUCUGAAGGAUGCUAAGACUAAAAUUUAUCCCUCUAAGACGAGGGGAGGUAAGGAACUGCCAUCCAGUUCUGCUUUAGAUUCACAUUCUGUUAUAAGUAAACUUGCAACACCACCACAUGCUAUUAAUCCUGAUAUGUCACAAGUUAUUGAUGAUGCUACUUCUUCUAUGAAUGAUACUUAUGAUGAUGAUAGUACCUUGCUUGAUGAUAAUGAUGUGCCACUUGGUGACUUUCUUGAUGAACAAAUUGCUAGAGUAAUACAACAUCAUGUUGUUGAAUCUGAUGAUGAACUUGAAACUGAAACUCCUGAAACACCUACUAGAACUAGCCUUCCUAGAUAUGAAUUUCCUAGGGUACCAGAAGGCUAUGUUAUGAAUGAAGAGACAACUAGAGACAUUCUUGCUUGUAAAGAUAGAGAUAAUCUAGAGAAACUACUAUGCAAGUAUAAAGAAAAAUCUCUGAAUGCUAGAAUGCAAUAUGAUCCUAAGUUUGCUACUUCACCUAUCUUUAUUUAUGACAAGGAUUAUGAAUUCUCUAUCGACCCAGAGUUAAUUACUUUGGUUGAAUCUGCUCCUUUCCAUGGUUAUGAAACUGAAACUGUUGUGGCACAUCUUACUAAGUUGAAUGACAUAGCCACCCUUUUUACUCAUGAUGAGAAGACUCGUUAUUACUUUAUUCUCAAAUUAUUUCCGUUCUCAUUAAAGGGUGAUGCUAAAGCUUGGUACAAUACUCUUGCUCCUGGUUGUGUGCGUAGUCCCCGGGAUAUGAUUUAUUACUUCUCUGAAAAAUAUUUCCUUGCUCAUAAGAAACAAGCUGCUUUACAUGAAAUAUUUAACUUUGUGCAAAUUAAAGAAGAGAGUCUCCCACAAGCUUGGGGGAGGCUUUGCCAGUUACUUAAUGCUUUGCCUGAUCAUCCUCUUAAGAAAAAUGAAAUACUUGAUAUCUUCUAUAAUGGACUAACCGAUGCUUCUAGGGAUUUCCUAGAUAGUUGUGCUGGUUGUGUUCUCAGGGAAUGAACUGUUGGGCAAGCUGAAGAAUUAUUGAAUAACAUAUUGAAAAAUUAUGAUGAUUGGACUCUUCCUGAACCACUGGCUAAACCCACUUCGAAGAAGACGGGUAUAUUAUAUCUCAGUCCUGAAGAUGUGCAAGAGGCAAAUAAAUCUAUGAAGGAAAAAGGUAUUAAAGCCGAGAAUGUUAAAAAUUUACCUCCUAUUGAAGAAAUACAUGGGCUUAAUACACCACCACCUCCUAAGGUGGUAGAGGUAAAUUCUCUUAUGAAGUUCAAUGAUAAUGACAAUCCUCACAAUAUGCACCCUAGCCAAUGCCUUUAUGAGUUUGAAAACUACAUUAGAAAACAAGAUCACUUCAAUGCAAAUGUUAUGAAACAAUUUGAAAGAUCGUGGAUGCCGCCUAGAGAGGGGUGAAUAGGCGCUUUAAAAUAAUUACGGUUGAGGCUUGAACAAAUGCGGAAUAAACCUAGCAGUUAAUUUGACAAGCACAAAACCUAAAACAACUAGGCUCACCUAUGUGCACCAAUAACUUAAGUUAAGCAAGAUAAGCAACUAUGUGAUAGCAAGAUAUAUGACAAGAAACAAUAUGACUAUCACAAAGUAAAGUGCAUAAGUAAAAGGGCUCGGGUAAGAGAUAACCGAGGCACGUGGAGACGAUGAUGUAUCCCGAAGUUCACACCCUUGCGGAUGCUAAUCUCCGUUUGGAGCGGUGUGGAGGCACAAUGCUCCCCAAGAAGCCACUAGGGCCACCGUAAUCUCCUCACGCCCUCGCAUAAUGCAAGAUGUCGUGAUUCCACUAAGGGACCCUUGAGGGCGAUCACCGAACCCGUACAAAUGGCAACCCUUGACGGUGGUCACCGAACCCGUACACUUUGGCAACCCUUGGGGGCGGUCAUCGGUACCCGUCAAAUUGCUCGGGGUGAUCUCCACAACCUAAUUGGAGACCCCGACGCUUGCCCGAAGCUUUACACCACAAUGAUUGAGCUCCGAACACCAACAACCGUCUAGGGCACCCAAGCACCCAAGAGGAACAAGCUCAAGGGUACCAAGCACCCAAGAGUAGUAAGCUUCUCAACUUGUAACUUCCAUGUAUCACCUUGGAGAACUCAAACCGAUGCACCAGAUGCAAUGGCAAGGGCACACGGAGUGCCCAAGUCCUUCUCUCUCAAAUCCCACCGAAGCAACUAAUGCUAGGGAGGAAAAUGAGAGGAAGAACAAGAAGGAGAACACCGAGAACUCCAAGAUCUAGAUCCAAGGGGUUCCCCUCACAUAGAGGAGAAAGUGUUUGGUGGAAAUGUGGAUCUAGAUCUCCUCUCUCUUUUCCCUCAAAAACUAGCAAGAAUCCAUGGAGGGAUUGAGAGUUAGCAAGCUCGAAGAAGGUCAACAAUGGGGGAAGAACACGAGCUCAAAGGAUAAGGUUCAUUGGGGAAGAAGACCCCCUUUUAUAGGAGGGGGAAAAUCCAACCGUUAUGUGCUCAGCCCGCACACGAGCGGUACUACCGCUUGGGCGGAAGAAGCAGGGAAAAGGAGCAACAAAACAUGAACCUUGGGGCGGUAGUACCGCAUAUAAGCGGUACUACUGCUCACCCCAGCGGUACUACCGCUGGAGGAGCAGAACACGGGACCAAAAGAGGCAGGGCAGAGCAGAGUACGGCGGCAAUAAUGCAGUAGCGGUACUACCGCCCGACCGGAGCAGUACUACCGCUUAUAGGAGCAACUACCGUGCCUUACUUCCGUGCAACUACUGCUAAACCCGACACGAAAAGUGCAGGACCCAAAAUCGAGGCGGUAGUAGAGCGGUACUGGAGCGGUACUACGGCUUGACGCUAUAAGCGGUACUACCGCUGCUGACCGCGGUACUACCGCAAGGAGAAAACCAGAACUGCCAUAACUUCUUCAUAAGAGCUCCGAAUUGAGCAAACUCAAGCUUGUUGGAAACAAGACGACGAGUAGCAUCAAAAUAGCGAGAAGAACCGGCAAAACCUCCAACAUUGAAAACAUCAUAGAAGACACGAGUGAACUCCGUUUUCGAUGAACUCGAGCUUGUCACCAAGAUGACCAUAAGCUCCAAAACUCACAAAGAGAAGAACCAAACAAGAACCAAAAAAGAUGAUGCAAGGAUGCAAUGGUUUGAGCUCUCUACAAACGUUACGAUCAAGCUACUCAUCAAGAGCCCCCCCUUGAAAGUACGGCAAUCGAUCCUAUAACCCGGUCUCCCAACUACCACUACGAGACCGGCAAAAUAGAAAACCUAUCAAGGGCAAACCUUUGUCUUGCACAUAGUCCACUUGAGCUAGAUGAUGACGAUCUUGACUUCCUCAAGUUGGACCACCUUUCUUGAUUGCGUUGGCUUGAUGAAGACUAGUAGAUUGCUCCCCCAUACUCCACUAUGGGUGAGCAACUCUUCUGCACAUCUUCACAAGUCCAUUGUCACCACAAUGGAUGGCAAGCUUCAAGCACUUGAUCUCUUCGUGAUGCAUCACUUGAACUUGCACACGACAACCUAACCCCACACAGAACUCUCACAAAGACCAUGGGUUAGUACACAAAGCGUAAUUGACAAUGCUUAAUAUACCAUGGGAUCACUUGAUCCCUCUCGGUACAUCUUCUGCGCUUUGUGAGUUGAUCAACUUGAUUCACUCUUGACUUAGUCUUGAUCAACCUUGAACCUUUCCAAUUCUCUUCAUUUGGAUGAUGUCUUGAAGGUAGACAUGAAUGAUCACACAAUCUUCUUCUUCAAGACAUGCUUGCAAUAAGCUCAACUCUCACAUGACCAAUCUUUGGAUAAUUCCUUGAAUAACACCUUGGUCGACACAAACUCUCCUUAAAACCAACACAUGUACUCCAAGAAAAGCCUAUGGACAAAACCUUAAAAUAUAACUCAAGGCAAUCAUUACUCCAUCGAGAUUGUCAUCAAUUACCAAAACCAAACAUGGGGGCACCACAUGUUCUUUCACAAUUGAAAUAUAAUUCUGAUAUGAUUGCUCGCUUGAGUGACUUGUUAUUUAGAAUCUUAAAUGAUGUUAGAGGUGUUGGAACUCAACAUGGUUGUGAACACUCACCUUCUGAUAAUGAAAAGUUAAUGAUGAGGUUCCUAAAGAUAGUCAACCAAAUAGUAAAGAACCAGACAAUGAUGUUGAGAUAGAACCACUAGUUGAUCUUGAUAACCCACAACCUAAGAAUAAAAGAUAUGAUAAAAGAGACUUCAUUGCUAGAAAACAUGGUAAAGAAAGAGAACCGUGGGUUCAAAAACCUAUUCCCUUUCCACCUAAGUCAACUAAAAAUAAAGAUGAUGGAGAAUUUGAACGCUUUGCUGAAAUGCCGAGGCCAUUCUUUUUGCGUACCCGCUUGACUGAUAUCUUGAAAAUGCCUCCUUAUGCAAAGUAUAUGAAAGAAAUCAUCACUAAUAAGAGAAAAAUACCAGAGCUGAAAUCUCCACCAUGCAUGCUAAUUAUACUUUUAAGGAUGGAGUACCUAAAAAACUUGGAGAUCCGGGAAUACCAACUAUACCUUGCUCUAUCAAAAAGAAUUAUGUGAGAACUGCUUUAUGUGAUUUAGGAGCUGGUGUUAGUGUUAUGCAUUUAUCUUUAUAUAAAAGACUUGAUUUGAAUAAACUCACUCCUACUGAAAUAUCUUUGCAAAUGGCUGACAAAUCAACUGCCAAACCUAUCGGUAUCUGUGAGGAUGUGCCUGUUGUUGUUGCUAAUGUUACUAUUUUGACUGACUUUGUUAUACUUGAGAUGCUCGAGGACGACAACAUGUCAGUUAUCCUUAGUAGACCCUUCUUGAAUACUGCAGGGGCUGUUAUUGAUUGCAAUAAAAGCAAGGUCACAUUUCAUACCAAUGGUAAUUAGCAUAUGGUGCACUUUCCGAAGAAACAAUUCCAAGUGAAUGGUAUUAAUGUUAUUGAAAAAAUCUCCGACAAUCACUAUUGGAAGUUUUGAAAUACCUCUACCUACUACCAAAAAGAAAUAUGAAUUGCUUAUUGUUGGGGACAUUCAUAUCCCCGUUGAGGUAACUUAGUGAUUUAUGAAAGUUCUUCGGUUUCAUGCUAAUCGAAAGUGGUUGUUAAUAAGACUUGAUCAACCUUAUUAAUGGAUCAUUUUUAAGAGGUAUGAAGUUGAUGAAUUUAGUAAGCACUACCUUUUGUCCCUACCUUUUGUUUUCUGUCUUUAUUAGUUAAAUAAAAUAAAAUGCCAUGUUUUGUCUGUUUUCUGAAUUUUCCGUGCAAUAAAAAAUGACCCAAAAAUAGAAGUUCUCGGAAUGCCUUGAAAAUUUAAUACGAUUUUUUCUUCCGAAUAUUUAAGAAUUUUUGGUGCAAAUAAUAUCAGAGGGAGGUGCACCAGGUGGACACAACCCACCUGGGUGCGCCAGGACCCCCAAGCGUGCCCUGGUGGGUUGUGGUCCCCACGUGGCCCCUCUCACUUAUCUCUUUACACCAAAUCAUCACCUAUCUCCAGAAAAACUUCCCCAUUGCUCUCUCUCUCGUGUUCUUGCUCUCAAACCCGUGGAUUUCGAUCUCUUUGCUUGAAGCUUCAUUUCCGAAAUUGUUUCAGGGGAUUGUUGCUUGGUAUGUGAUACAUCUCCAACGUAUCUAUAAUUUUUGAUUGUUCCAUGCUAUUAUAUUAUCUGUUUUGGAUGUUUAAUGGGCUUUAUUAUGCACUUUUGUAUUAUUUUUGGGACUAACCUAUUAACCGAAGGCCCAGUGCAAAUUGCUGUUUUUUUGCCUAUUUCAGUGUUUCACAGAAAAGGAAUAUCAAACGGAAUCCAAAUGGAAUGAAACCUUCGCGAGGAUCUUUUUUUUUGGAACAAACGCAAUCCAGGAGACUUGGAGUGGAGGUCAAGGAAGCAACAAGGCGGCCACAAGGUAGGGCGGCGUGCCCAAGGGGGCAGGCACGCCCCCACCCUCAUGGGCCCCUCGUAGCUCCACCGACCUACUUCCUUCGCCUAUAUAUACUCUUAUACCCUAAAAACAUCUAGGAGAGCCACGAAACCACUUUUCCACUGUCGCAACCUUCUGUACCCAUGAGAUCCCAUCUGGGGACCUUUUCCAGCAAUCUGCCGGAGGGGGAUUCGAUCACGGAGGGCUUCUACAUCAACACCAUAGCCUCUCCGAUGAUGUGUGACUAGUUUACCACAGACCUUUGGGUCCAUAGUUAUUAGCUAGAUGGCUUCUUCUCUCUCUUUGGAUCUCAAUACAAAGUUCUCCUCAAUGUUCUUGGAGAUCUAUUCAAUGUAAUUCUUUUUGCAGUGUGUUUGUCGAGAUCCGAUGAAUUGUGGGUUUAUGAUCAAGUUUAUCUAUGAAAAAUAUUUGAUUCUUCUCUGAAUUCAUGAUUUGAUAUCUUUGCAAGUCUCUUCAAAUUAUCAGUUUGGUUUGGCCUACUAGAUUGAUCUUUCUUGCAAUGGGAGAAGUGCUUAGCUUUGGGUUCAAUCCUGCGGCGCUCGAUCCCAGUGACACAAAGGGAACCGACAUGUAUUGUAUUGUUUCCAUCGAGGAUAAAAAGAUGGGGUUUAUAUCAUAUUGCUUGAGUUUAUCCCUCUACAUCAUGUUAUCUUGCCUAAUGCGUUACUAUGUUCUUAUGAACUUAAUACUCUAGAUGCAUGCUGGAUAGUGGUCGAUGUGUGGAGUAAUAGUAGUAGAUGCAGAAUCGUUUCGGUCUACUUGACACGGACGUGAUGCCUAUGUUUAUGAUCAUGCCUAGAUAUUCUCAUAACUAUGCACUUUUCUAUCAAUUGCUCGACAGUAAUUUGUUCACCCACCGUAAUAUAUGCUAUCUUGAGAGAUGCCACUAGUGAAACCUAUGGCCCCCGGGUCUACUUUACAUCAUAUAAGUUUCUGAUCUACAAUUCUAGUUUAUUAUUUAUUUUGCAAUCUUUAUUUUCCAAUCUAUACAACAAAAAUACCAAAAAUAUUUAUCUUAUAAUCUUUAUCAGAUCUCACUUUCGAAAGUGACCGUGAAGGGAUUGACAACCCCUUUAUCGCGUUGGUUGCGAGGUUCUUGUUUGUUUGUGCAGGUACUAGGAGACUUGCGUGUAGUCUCCUACUGGAUUGAUACCUUGGUUCUCAAAAGCUAAGGGAAAUACUUACGCUACUUUGCUGCAUCACCCUUUCCUCUUGAAGGGAAAACCUACGCAUGCUCAAGAGGUAGCAAGAAGGAUUUCUGGCGCCGUUGCCGGGGAGAUUUGCACCAAGUCAAGUCAAGAUUUGAUCUCCCGUCAACUAGCCAUUUCUGACGCCGUUGCUGGAGAGAUCUACGCUCAAGUCAAGACAUACCAAGUACCCUUCACAAACUCUUAUCCCUCGCAUUACAUUAUUUGUCAUUUGCCUCUCGUUUUCCUCUCCCCCACUUCACCUUUGCCGUUUUAUUCGCCCUUUUUCCGUUCGUCUCUUUUCACUUGCCUCUUGUGUGUCCAUGUGUUAGAUCAUUUAUUUGCCCUCAUGGCUAGUUCUCCUAUCAUUAUUAACACUCCCGAUAAUGAAGUUCUUAAUUUUAAACAAAGGGAGGGAGAAAACUUAAAAGUUGCUUGGUAUAGAAUUUGCAAUGCUCAAAAUAGAUAUAUUAAAAGGCAAUCUACUUCCGUUCUUCUCCGCAAUUUUUACGUAGGCAUCACUCCUUGGUAUAGAUAUGUUCUUGACACCAUCACUGGAGGGAAUUUCUUGGGAAGCUAUACUUUUGAUUCUUAUAAUGCUAUGAUAGAUUUGUUAGGCCCACCACCUCUUUUGGUCAAUGGAACUAUUUUAACUUUGGAACAUGUGAUGCAAAGGCUUGAAAUUAUUGAAAAUAAGAUUUCCACUGUAGAGUUAAUUGAAAAUUUGGAUAAAAAGAUCCACAACCAAAUUACUCAAUAUGGAUCUAAGUUAGGAGUUACUCUGAAAAAUCUUAAGGAAAAGGAAUCCAUAGUCAAUGAAAAGAUAGAUCAAGAUUCCACUAGAAUUGAUAAACUCGAAGAAAUUAUUACCAACUUGGGGUCCGCUUUUUCUGCCAUUAAAAACACCUCAAAUCCCCCUCCUACCAAAGUUGACAAAUUUAUCUAUGUUCCUAAAAAUAAGGGUGAAUCUUCUAGUAAGAAAAAUGAAGAUCUCAAGUCAAUAAGUGUUCACCCCAACUUUUUAGAUAUCGUUAAGGAACCUUUUGCUACAAAUGAAUUUCUUGAUUUCCUACCUAGGAGUUUGAUCAUUUGCAAAAACAAAGAACCUCCUAAGGGUUAUAAGUGUUCAAUUGAAGAAUUGCCUACCAAAGAUGACAAUACCUAGAUCUAUUAUUGUUUUUAUGCCUAGCUAGGGGUGUUAAACGAUAGCGCUUGUUGGGAGGCAACCCAAUUUUAUUUUUCCUCCUUCUUUUUGUUUCUGUUUAGUAAUAAAUAAAUCAUAUAUCCUCUGUUAUGAUUGUGUUUUUAUGUUUUUGUUAGUGUUUGUGCCAAGUAAAGCCUUUAGGAUCUUCUUGGGUGAUUGUUAUUUGUUCUUGCUGGAAAAAAACAAAAAGUAUGCACUCAUGAGAAUAAUUUUCAUUUUUAACCAGAGAGCGAUAAAAUACCAAUUCCAACUGCAGUAGAUCAAUAUACAAAUUAUUUAGGACGUCCUAAUUUCUCAGGAUUACUACAGACUGUUCUGUUUUUGACAGAUUCUGUUCUUCGUGUGUUGUUUGUUUUUUUUUGAUGAAUCUAUGGCUAGUAUCGGGGAUAUGAACCAUAGAGAAGUUGGAGUACAGUAGGUUUAACACCAACAUAAAUAAAGAAUGAGUUCAUUAUAGUACAUUAAAGUGGUGAUUUGUUUUCUUAUACUAAUGGAGCUCAUGAGAUUUUCUGUUGAGUUUUGUGUUGUGAAGUUUUCAAGUUUUUGGGUAAAGAUUUGAUGGAUUUUGGAACAAAGAGUGGCAAGAGCCUAAGCUUGGGGAUGCCCAAGGCACCCCAAGGUAAAAUACAAGGACAGACAAAAGACUAAGCUUGGGGAUGCCCCGGAAGGCAUCCCCUCUUUCGUCUUCAUCUAUCGGUAACUUUACUUGAGGCUAUAUUUUUAUUCACCACAUGAUAUGUGUUUUUCUUGGAGCGUCUUAUAUGAUUUGAGUCUUUGCUUUUUAGUUUACCAUAAUCAUCCUUGCUGCACACACCUUUUGGGAGAGACACACAUGAAUCGGAAUUUAUUAGAAUACUCUAUGUGCUUCACUUCUAUCUUUUAAGCUAGAUAAAUUUUGUUCUAGUGCUUCACUUAUAUCUUUUUAGAGCACGGUGGUGGUUUUAUUUUAUAUAAAUUAUUGACCUCUCAUGCUUCACUUAUAUUAUUUUGAGAGUCUUUUAGAACAACAUGGUAAUUUGCUUUGGCUAUAAAAUUAGUCCUAAUAUGAUAGGCAUCCAGGAUGGGUAUAAUAAAAACUUUCAUAUAGAGUGCAUUAAAUAUUAUUGUAGGAUCGAAAGUAUGUCUAGAAGGGGGGGUGAUUAGACUACUUGACCAAAUAAAAAUCUAGCCUUUUCCCAAUUUUAAUUCUUGGCAGAUUUUAGCAACUUAGCACAAGUCAAGAAAACAACCUACACAUGCAAUUCUAAGAGUAUAGCAGCGGAAUGUAAAACAAUUGCAUAUGAAGGUAAAGGGAGGAGUUUGGAGGGAGCAAACGCAAUGUAGACACGGAGAUUUUUUGUGUGGUUCCGAUAGGUGGUGCUAUCGUACAUCCAUGUUGAUGGAGACUUCAACCCACGAAGGGUAACGGUUGCGCGAGUCCACGGAGGGCUCCACCCACGAAGGGUCCACGAAGAAGCAACCUUGUCUAUCCCACCAUGGCCAUCGCCCACGAAGGACUUGCCUCACUAGGGUAGAUCUUCAUGAAUUAGGCGAUCUCCUUGCCCAUACAAACUCCUUGGUUCAACUCCACAAUCUUGACGGAGGCUCCCAAGUGACACCUAACCAAUCUAGGAGACACCACUCUCCAAGAGGUAAAAAUGGUGUGUUGAUGAUGAACUCCUUGCUCUUGUGCUUCAAAUGAUAGUCUCCCCAAUACUCAACUCUCUCUCAUAGGAUAGGAUUUGGUGGAAAGAUAAUUUGAGUGGAAAGCAACUUGGGGAAGGCUAGAGAUCAAGAUUUAUGUGGUUGAAAUGAAGUAUCUUGACCUCAACACAAGUGUAGGUGGUUCUCUCUCAGAAAAUGAAUGUUGGAAGUGUAGGCAUGUUCUGAUGGCUCUCUCCAUGAAUGAAGAGUGGGUGGAGGGGUAUAUAUAGCCUCCACACAAAAUCUAACCAUUACACACAAAUCACCAAACUCGGUGGGACCGAAUCAUACAACUCGGUUAGACCGAUUUAGUUCAUAAUGUGACCGUUAGGGUUUUCGGUGGGACCGACAUGUCAACUCGGUGGGACCAAUAUCAUUAGGGUUAGGGCAUAACAUGUUAUCGAUGAGACCGAUUACACAAACUCGGUGAGACCGAUUUUGGUAAUAGACUAACCAGAGAGUUGGUCAGGCAAUCUCGGUGGGACCGAUUCACUCUCUCGGUAGGACCAAAACGUUACGAAAGGGAAACAGAGAGUUUGCAUUGCAAUCUCGAUGGGGCCGAUCGCUCAUCUCGGUUGGACCGAAAUGUUACGAAGGGAAACAGAGAGAUUACAAUCCCAUCUCGGUGAGACCGAGAUCCCUAUUGGUGGGACCAAAAAGACUAGGGUUUGUGGUAGUGGCUAUGUCAAGUGAACUCGGUGGCGCCGGAUAGAUCAAAUCGGUGGGGCCGAGUUUGACUUUUAGUUGGGGAUAUAUUUGGAUAUGAGAAAGUGGUUGAGGGUUGUGGAGCAUAUCACUAAGCACUUUGAGCAAGAACCUCAUUAAGCAACACCUCAUCCCCUCUUAAUAGUAUUGGCUUUUCCUAUGUACUCAAUGUGAUCUUGGAUCACUAAAAAUGAAAUGUAGAGUCUUGUGCUUUGAGCUUGAGCCAAUCCUUUUGUCCUUGGCAUUUUGAGGAGUCCACUUUCUAAUCCAUGCUAUGCCAAUCAUUGAGCUUUUCCUGAAAUAUUUAUCUUCAAGUAGCAUUAGCUCAAUGAGGUAUAUGUUGUUAGGAAUUACUAAAACCACCCAGGGAUAGUUGCACUUUCAAUCUCCCCCUUUUUGGUAAUUGAUGACAACAUAUAGAUCAAAGCUUCGACAAAUGAUUAUAAGAUUGAAAAACAUUGUCGCUUUGAGAAGUAUGUGAUAAGCAAGAGCUCCCCCUAAAUUUGUGCAUUAUUUAAAAUCUGCUUUUGAAUGCAAAUGCACAAUCGAUUAGGGUUACUCUUCCAUGUCACAUACAUCUUGGUGGAGUGCUCAAAAUGAUAGAAAUUAAAAGCAUGCACUCAUCACCAAGCAAGUGAAUGAUCAUAUAUGGAAUAUAAAGGAUAGCAUCAUUCAACCAAACAUUAAGGUAGCAUAUGAUCAACCACAUGAUCAUAUAAGUAUCUCACAAGGACAUAAAGUAUCUCACACAAGCACACAAUAAAGUAGUUCAACAAAAAUAGCAAGAGAGAUAAAAAGCAAGACACUCUGUCUCGAAGCCUAUGAUCUAUACAUAUUUCUCCCCCAUUGGCAACAAGUUACCAAAAAGUUUAAAAAUGCAUAGUGCUAUACGUCUCUCAGGCUUGGUCUUCGGGAGGUGGUGUAGAUAGAACUCCAAGGACGAAGGCUUCCGAUGAAGUAGUUGGAUCUGAUGGAGUGAGUGCUGGAGGUGGCACUGGAGCUGUAGCUGCUGGUGCUGACACUGAAGCUCUAGCAUCUGAGACUGGCACUGUAGCAGACCUUGGACCUCAUGGCACACACUUAAAAGCAUCAGUGGUUGCUUUUCCUCUCCUCUUCUCUGCUUCCUCCUGAAGCUGCUCAACUGCAGUCUGAAUCUCAGUCACCUUUAGAUCAAGAUCAUAGAAUUUUGUUUCCACAAUCCUCUCGAGGCUCUCCUGAUUCUGAGUCAGUGUGGCCAAGCCCUUCUCAAUCCUCGGUGUAGCUUGAAUCAUAUAGCCUAACUGAUCUUGCUUGCUCUUCAGGAAGACUCGAGAUGCCUCUUCAACACUUGGCAUCUGGGUAGCUUUCUCAGCCUUUUCCUUGGCUCUCUUCUCCUGGACUUGAGCUGAUGAUGGUUCUUCCUCAUUCAUCACAAUAGUGUUGUCUUCAAACUCAGGAUAUAGAGGUAGAUGCUCCUUGUCCAGCAGGUAAGUCCAUGUGCCCAUUUUAGAGUUGAUGAGCUCCUGAAUGUGUGGAGCAUAUCCGCAGCUCCUUUUUUGAUCAGCAUCAGUCCUUUUGAUUGUUUCUACAAUCAAGCUCAUAACUUUGAACUUCUGGGGGACAUAAAAAAUUUGUAACUGUGGACUGGUACCUAGUACCCUCGGACAUCCAAACUAUCCUACCAUCUGGAUAGAAGUGGGCAGUGGUGUAGAACUGCAUGAUCAACUCAUCAUUCCAUUUGGUGAGCUUUUGUCCAACGAAUUCAUCUACUCCACAAGCCUUAAAGUUGUCAUACACUCCAGGGAAGUGAUCUUCAUUUUCCCGGAUGAACUCCCAGUCCACCCAUUUCAUGUCACACACUAUGGGCUUCUUGUCAAGCAGAAUGGUCUCAUAGAAAUCUUGUUGUUCCUUUGUGUGGAACCUGUAGUCAACUGCAGUCCUCCUCCCAACAGCAUAGGGAUCAGACUGUCUCCACAACCUCAGUCCUGCAUCUUUCCCGAUGUGCAUGUCCUCAGCGACUGGGUGAGCAUCAUUUUGGUUAGGAAUUUUGGGCUUCAACUUCCUCAAAACAAGAGAAUGAUCAUCUUCUUCUUCAGCUUCAAGCACUGGGGCCUUGUUCUUCUCCUCAGCAGUUAUACUCCUGGUGUUCCUCUUGUGUUUUGGGGGUUUCUGAGCAGCAGCCUUGGGAGCAGAUUUGGGCUUAGAUGGAGCAGCCCCUGACUUGAUUGCAUCUCCCAUGAUUUUCUGAGCCUUAGGAGCUGGUGCAGCAUCCUCUUCCUCCUCCUCUUCUUCUGAAUCUCUCAUAAUGGAGGAUCUACCAAGUACUCUAGGAGUGGUAUUCUUGACCCUUUCUUUUCUUUUCUUUCCUUCUCCAACUGCCUCUUCAGUUGGCUUGGAGGUUUCAGUAGUUGAGGCUCUGGCCUUUGACAUGGGAAUUCUCUUUGCUGGAGCCUUCUUGUGCAUCCCUGGCUUUGUUGUAGCAGCUAAGCCAUACUCUUUCUUCAGCACCUUUUUCUUGGAGCUAACUUCUUCCUCAACAGCCACAUAAUCCUCAUCCUCAGAAUCUGAGGUCUUCUUCUUCCUUGUUCUGGUGGCUGCCUUGGGCAAGUUGCUUGGUGUGCUCCUGCUACCCUCAUCAGAAGUGCUAGAGGGACUAGUGCCCUCACUCAUAUGAACCUGCUCCUCAGACUUGUUCUGGCUGUCACUUUGAUCUGACAUCUUGCAGGCAAACUGUCAGCAGACCCUGUGAAUAGAUUGUAGAUGAGGUAGAGUAGAUGAGAAUCACAAAGUGCAGAAUUUUUGCAAAAUAGAUGAUUUAAAAACUUAGUUUUAGUUCUUCACAGAAAGCAUUUCGGAUCUACCGAUUUGUAAACUCGGUGAUACCGAAGCAGCUUUUGGAAUCUAAACUAGUGAACUCGGUCAGACCGAGUCACAGUUCGGUGGCACCGAGACUGCUAGGGUUUCACAAAGAAUCGAACUCGGUCACACCAAUUUGCAAUUUUUGGUUAGACCGAAAACGCAUGUGCAAUGGCGCAAGCCAAAUCGGUGAGACCGAUUUCUACAACUCGGUCGGUCCGAGAUGAGUUCGGCGGAGACCUACCCCUAAAUUUUCAAAUCAAAUCUAAUCUACGGGAUGCUUUCGCUGGACAGGAUGAUUUCAUACGUGGAAAGAAUAAUGGCAAAGCAAUGUGCUAUGAAUCGGAGUUAAGGAAUAGCACAAAUAUCAAGUUCAUACCCUACUUCGACGGUGAACUUGCUAGGAUGGCAACGGCGGGCAGAUUGCCGUUGAUGGCGGCGAAGACCAGCGGCGGGAAGUCGCUGGCGGCGAGAGGACGAUCCAGAGACCCGAGGAGGCAGAGCAGGUCACACGCGGGUGAAAGGUUUCGGAAAAAAUUCCAAAAUUUGACCCGUCAGUAUAUAUAACCUGACCCUGUCGGUGUGACCGAGUGGAACAACUCGGUGGCACCGAGAUGCAGAACUGCAAGCGGUUACUGCAACUCGGUGUGACCGAAAAGUUCUAAUCGGUUGCACUGAGAUUGAAAACCUAGAUCAACUAAGUGAUCUCGGUGUGACCGAAAUGGAUGACUCGGUCAUACCGAAGUGCACAAAGAGGUUUUGGAAGUUUAAGUCUAUGACGAAUCGGGGACUUCGAGUGCUCCUCACACAGAGUGGUUCGAAUCUGACUUGAUCAAACUUUGUGAUGUAGCAUGAAUAUAGUUUGAGACGAGGAAAGCAUAGAUACCUAGAGGGAGUUCUUAGGCAUUCUUGUCCAUCCAGAGAAAAAAGCCAAACAAUCAAAGCAACAAAUGGAUGUCCUUGAAUAAGUAAAAUAUGCAACCAACAUGCUCAACAAUAAUAUGGCAAAAGAAAUAUGUGACAAAGCAUGCACAAACACUCUAGCAUCUAUCAAGCAAUUUGGCGAUGACUAGGUCAUUUAUAUAUGAGUAUAUUGGCUUAGGAGUCAAAUGAGAACAUUUGAUCAUAGGUCAUACUCAUCAUUUAAGCACAAGUGGGGUUGCCACUUUUACAUAAAGCAUUGUUGUGUUCACACCAAUAGAGUUGCUUUAGCUCAAUUGAUUAGAGUAAAGCUCCCCCUAGAUGUGAUAUCCCCCCUUAAGAGGGAUGAACUAACCUUGGGUUUUGUCGAUGAUGACUUCAUGUAGGUGUUGAAGAUGUAGAUGCUCAAUGUUGAUGUAGAUCCUUUGGAGCAAUCCUUUGAAGUGAGUUACACUUUCAAUACCUACACGGGUUAGUCCCACAAGGAACAAACAAGGAUAAACAUAGACAUAGCGUUAUAUUCACAUGAUAUGAUGUCCAUGAAUGCAUUAGGUUACCUUGUCCCUUGUCUUACCAACAAUAGGGUUUGUGACUCCUUGAACUAGUGCAAGAUAUGGAAGUUGUUUGCACUUGUCCUCGCCAAAAUGAUAUGAGUGAAGUGUGUUGGCGGAGUCACCCUCAAGAACUCUCUAAUUCUUCUUCUUCGGGAUCCACACCAUCUUCAUGGGAAUCCUUGGAGUUGUAGUCGUACCUGAUGAAGUAGAACUUGAUGUAGUCUUGGGAACCCACUUGACCAAGGCUUUGGGAGCUUCUUCAAAUGCAUCAAUCUCCUCUUGAAGCUUGUCCUUGCCUUUUUGCUUGUGGUCUUGUGGUGGAAGAUCAUCUUGAGCUUGUGUUCCUUGGAAAGAAGUAGGAUCACACUUCUCUUGUUGAGGAACAAACUUUGUCUUGGGGUAUUGAUCUUCUUCCCACUCAACUCCAUUGGCAUUAAACUUUCGUUCAAAACCAACACCUUGAUUCUUUCGGUGUCUUCCUUGCUUGCGUACAAUUUCCUCAAAUUGCUUACUUUCGGCAAGGCUCUUGUAAACACCUUUCUCUAUAAUUCCCUUCAAUAAGCUAUUUUCUUGCUCAAGUGUAACUUGGCUAAGAGAAUCACUAGUGGAAUUGGGAGAACUACUAGAAGCAACAUCAUUGGGUUUAGCAUGAUUAUCGUUACUACUAGAAGAAGAAUCUUUCUUACUCUUGUUGCUAGAUUUAACUUGUGGCAUGUAAGUAGACAAAAGUAAACACUUGGCAAUGUAAGAAGAACUUUUCUUGCGAAGAUCAUCAUUGAUAAUUUUUAAGAACCCAUGCUCUUGCUCAAGAUUGAGCUUUUCGAAGCGUAACUUCUCAUGAGUCUUUAAAAGCUCUCGAUGAUUUUCCAAGGUAGUUUCAUGAGCUAACUUAAGAGUGUUUAGCUCUUUAGUUAGAUGCUCAAUCUCCUUCUUAUCAUCAUCAUUCGUUUUGUCUUGAUUAGCAUGAUUAAUAUCAAGUUCAUCAAAGUUUCCAUCACUAGAAUUGUCAACAAGUAAAUCAUCAUCACCUAGCAAGUCAUCUUCAUCACUAUUGAAAUCAACAUACUCGGGGUGUGAUACCUUUGGGCCUUUAGCCAUGAAGCAUCUUCCAAUCCCUUCACUUGGUGACUCAAAUAUGUCGUAGGAGUUGGUUGACACAAGUGCUAGACCGGCCACACCUUCAUCUUGAGUAUAUUCGGAGUCGGAGUGAUAACUUCUCUCAGAGUGAUCGUCCGAGUCGGAGCCGGAUACCCAUUAACCAACGUGAGAUUGAAGUAUUCAUUUUGUGUAGCCCCUUGAUGAUUUGUCCUUCCUUUCCGAAUCCUUGCUUCUCCGUGAUGUUCUUCGUUCAUAAAGGUCAUCUCUACUCCUCUCUCUUGGUGGUGAUUCUUCUCUCCUACUCCUUCUUUUCGGAGAACCUUCUCUUCUUUUGUAGGGAGCCGUACACUCAUUGGAGUAGUGUCCGGGUCUUCCACCAUUGUAGCAAUUACGUUCAUGACUUGAAGAUCUUUUGUCAUUGUAGGAACUUGACUUGGAACUUCUUUCCUUGCUUCUACUCUUGUAGAACUUGUUGAAGUUCUUCACCAUUAGGCUCAAUUCUUCAUUGAAGUUUUGUUUCUCACUUGAUGAUGUGGGAGCAUCACAUGAGGCUUUGUAAGCACCACUUGACUUGUUGUGAAGCUCUUCCUUAUCCUUGAGUGACAUCUCAUGAGCAACAAUCCUUCCAAUGACUUCCGUUGGCUUGAGAUCUUUGUAAUUUGGCAUCAUUUGGAUCAAUGUGCACACGUAUCAUAUUUUCCAUCCAAGGCUCUUAGGAUCUUCUUGAUGAUGAAUCUAUCGGUCAUCUCUUCACUUCCUAAGCCGGCAAUCUCAUUUGUGAUGAGAGCAAGCCUAGAGUACAUUUCAGCGACACCUUCACCAUCCUUCAUUUUGAACUUGUCAAGUUGACUUUGAAGCACAUUCAAUUCGGAUUCCUUGAUGGAGUCGGUACCUUCGUGCAUAUCAAUCAAAGUAUCCCAAAUUUCCUUUGCAUUCUCAAGACGACUGAUUUUGUUGAAUUCUUCGGGGCACAUUCCGUUGAAGAGAAUAUCACAAGCUUGAGCAUUGUACUACAGCCUCUUCAACUCUUCCGCUCUAGCCUCACGGUUCGGUUCCCUCCCAUCAAAGAAUUCACCUUGCAAGCCAAUACACACAAUAUCCCAAACGGCGGGGUUAUGUCCAAGAAUAUGCAUUUUCAUCUUAUGCUUCCAACUAGCAAAAUUAGUACCAUCAAAAUAAGGACCUCUACGGUGGUAAUUUCCCUCACUAGACGCCAUACUCUCCUAGGUUGUGAAACCAAGGCUAUGAUUACCAAAGCUACAGAAAUCAAGGAAAAUGGAGACCAAAGCUCUGAUACCACUUGUAGGAUUGAAAGUGUGUCUAGAAGGGGGGUGAUUAGGCUACUUGACCAAAUAAAAAUCUAGCCUUUUCCCAAUUUUAAUUCUUGGCAGAUUUUAGCAACUUAGCACAAGUCAAGCAAACAACCUACACAUGCAAUUCUAAGAGUAUAGCAGCGGAAUGUAAAACAAUUGCAUAUGAAGGUAAAGGGAGGAGUUUGGAGGGAGAAAACGCAAUGUAGACACGGAGAUUUUUGGCGUCGUUCUGAUAGGUGGUGCUAUCGUACAUCCACGUUGAUGGAGACUUCAACCCACGAAGGGUAACGGUUGCGCGAGUCCAUGAAGGGCUCCACCCAUGAAGGGUCCACGAAGAAGCAACCUUGUCUAUCCCACCAUGGCCAUCGCCCACGAAGGACUUGCCUCACUAGGGUAGAUCUUCACGAAGUAGGCGAUCUCCUUGCCCAUAAAAACUCCUUGGUUCAACUCCACAAUCUUGACGGAGGCUCCCAAGUGACACCUAACCAAUCUAGGAGACACCACUCUCCAAGAGGUAACAAAUAGUGUGUUGAUGAUGAACUCCUUGCUCUUGUGCUUCAAAUGAUAGUCUCCCCAACACUCAACUCUCUCUCAUAGGAUAGGAUCUAGUGGAAAGAUGAUUUAAGUGGAAAGCAACUUGGGGAAGGCUAGAGAUCAAGAUUUAUGUGGUUGGAAUGAAGUAUCUUGACCUCAACACAAGUGUAGGUGGUUCUCUCUCAGAAAAUGUAUGUUGGAAGUGUAGGCAUGUUCUGAUGGCUCUCUCCACGAAUGAAGAGUGGGUGGAGGGGUAUAUAUAGCCUCCACACAAAAUCUAACCGUUACACACAAAUAACCAAACUCGAUGGGACCGAAUCAUACAACUCGGUCAGACCGAUUUAGUUCAUAAUGUGACCAUUAGGGUUUUCGGUGGGACCGACAUGUCGACUCGGUGGGACCGAUAUCAUUAGGGUUAGGGCAUAAUAUCUCGGUGAGACCGAUUACACAAACUCGGUGAGACCGAUUUUGGUAAUAGACUAACCAGAGAGUUGGUCAGGCAAUCUCGAUGGGACCGAUUCGCUCUCUUGGUAGGACCGAAACAUUAUGAAAGGGAAACAGAGAGUUUGCAUUGCAAUCUCAGUGGGACCGAUCACUCAUCUCGAUUGGACCGAAACGCUACGAAGGGAAACAGAGAGAUUACAAUCCCAUCUCGGUGAGACCGAGAUCCCUAUCGGUGGGACCGAAAAGACUAGGGUUUGUGGUAGUGGCUAUGUCAAGUGAACUCGGUGGCGCCGGAUAGAUCAAAUUGGUGGGGCCGAGUUUGACUUUUGGUUUGGGAUAUAUUUGGAUAUGAGAAAGUGGUUGAGGGUUGUGGAGCAUAUCACUAAGCACUUUGAGCAAGAACCUCAUUAAGCAACACCUCAUCCCCUCUUAAUAGUAUUGGCUUUUCCUAUGGAUUGAAUGUGAUCUUGGAUCACUAAAAAUGAAAUGUAGAGUCUUGUGCUUUGAUCUUGAGCCAAUCCUUUUGUCCUUAGCAUUUUGAGGAGUCCACUUUCUAAUCCAUGCCAUGCCAAUCAUUGAGCUUUUCCUGAAAUAUUUAUUUUCAAGUAGCAUUAACUCAAUGAGCUAUAUGUUGUUAGGAAUUACCAAAACCACCCAGGGAUAGUUGCACUUUCAAUUAUGAGAAGUUUGAUACUUGAUAGUUGUUUUGAGAUAUAAAGGUGGUAAUACUAGAGUCGUGCUAGUUGAGUAAUUAUGAAAUUGAGAAAUACUUGUGUUGAAGUUGGCAAGUCCCGUAGCUUGCACGUAUGGUAGACGUUGUGUGACAAAUUUGAAGCAUGAGGUGUUCUUUGAUUGCUUUCCUUAUGAGUGGCGGUCGGGGACAAGCGAUGGUCUUUUCCUACCAAUCUAUCCCCCUAGGAGCAUGCACGUAGUGCUUGAUUUUGAUGACUUGUAGAUUUUUGGAAUAAGUAUGUGAGUUCUUUAUGACUAAUGUUGAGUCCAUGGAUUAUACACACUCUCACCCUUGAAUCAUUGCUAGCCUCUUUGGUACCGUGCAUUGCCCUUUCUCACCUCGAGAGUUGGUGCAAACUUCGCUGGUGCAUCCAAACCCCUUGAUAUGAUACGCUCUAUCACACGUAAGCCUCCUUAUAUCGUCCUCAAAACAGCCACCAUACCUACCUAUUAUGGCAUUUCCAUAGCCAUUCCGAGAUAUAUGUGGCGACCCGACCUCAAACGGCCAAGUCUCUGUGCUUCAGUGUCAUCCCUGGAUCGGUAAUGCUGACACACACAGUACUCGAGGAUUUAUAACAGAGUAGCAAUCACACACUUAUUACAUUGAAUGUCUCAAAAGAGAACUUAUUACAGUAAAUAUGGCUUAAGGCCAUCUAAUACGAUAACAGCGGAAGGCUUGGAAGAUAAAGUGAGUCCAUCAACUCCAACGGCAUAGCUGAGCUGCACGGCAACGACCUAACGAACCUUACUCCUCGUCUGAAAAGUCUGCAACAUAAUAUGUUGCAGCCCGAAAACGGGUCAGCACAUCGAAUAUGCUGGCAAGAUAACAUAGUAGAGCAAGAACAGAAUAAUGCUAUCAGUACAUGCAUAUUUGGCUGGUGGAAAGCUCUAUGGUUAUAGUUUUUGCGAAAAGUCAAUUUUUCCCUACAACAAAGGAAUAUAUUUUAUUUAACUAUCAUGGUAGUUGAAACAUCAUUGAGAAGGUUCCUCCAACUCAAUCCAAAUUAAAGUAAUUAACAACCCAACAAUAUUAGUUUAGAGUGAUGAGAUACAUAGGAUACUCCAAGUACUAGAUACUCAAGAUGUCCAUAACCGGGGACACGGCUAACCAUGAUUAGUUUAUACACUCUGCAGAGGUUUGCGCACUUUUCCCCACAAGACCCGAUCUCCUCCGUUGGAUUUCUCGCACUACAGGGUGUUUGAGAAACGGAUGACCGAGACACAGUCUUUCAGAAGCAUUAACUCCUUACUCCGGGCAGACCAUACCAAACCUACAUCCCACUACCUGCUGAUCCACCUCUUCGGGAGCUUCACGCAACUUACUCAACUAUGCUAGAGCCCAUAAUAGCUUGUGGCUGCACACGGAAGUUUCUAGCAUUUAAAUAUCUCAGUUCCCUUUGAGCUUGGGUGGCGGACCAUAGGAUUAUCACACGGGUACUCCGGGAUAUCCUAGGACAACACUAGAUUCCCUAGGUGCCCAACAAACAAUCCACCCAGAUGUGUAUUCAAGUUGCCACCUUAAGUUGAACCAUUAAUUAACAAUCUCACAUUUGUCAUGGAUUUCACUCACCCAAACCACGUCUACGAGCAUAGCAUAGCAAUAUAAGCAAUACGUAGAAGUAACUCCCGAGGGUUUGAAUAUAACAGGGCAAUAGGUUCUACCUCAUCAACUACUUCCCAACCCACAUAUUAAUCACAUCCUAACCAUGCAAUGUUUGAGGAUUGGAGCUAAUGCAUAAAAACUGGGUGAUAAAGGGGUAUGAUCAAAGUGUUACUUGCCUUGCUGAUGAACCGCAUAACCUAGGGACUCGUAGUAGCACGCUUCACACUCUGGGUGUUCUAUCGCAAACAAACAAAAGCAUACAUAAGCAAUCAAGCAAAGAAACACGAGUAAAUCUCAAAUAAGAAGAUCUAACCAGAAAGUUCAACUUAAGAACUUCGGUUUGCGAAAAGAAUCAAAUCAAACGGAGCAACGAAACUCAAAUGGCGAAAGAAACAAGAUCUGUUUACUAAUGUGGACUAAGGUCAAAUUUUAUAGUAGCAAAAGCUUGUUCAAGCUGGUUAAACGGAAAGAGGGUCUCGAGACGAAGAUCUAGGCGCUUGAAUCGCCUGAUUCCGAUAAAUGAGCGAAAAGAUAAACUAAAACGAAAAUCGGAUCAGAAAUCGCGAUUGAAAAUAAUCACGGAAAAUCCGAGAAAAAGAAAAUUGACGAACAGGCUAACGAACGAGCGUUUGUUGUCUGUUGCUAACGAGUAAACUCCGUUUGCUAAAACGAACGUACGGACGAACGUCCGCAAAGUAACUAAACCGAGAAAAACCGGUGAACCAAUCUAAAAAAAUGAACUAGGGUUUCUUAAAAAAACUGGAUCGGUUUUUAAAAAAAAACAGGCGGCAGCAACGGCGGCGUUACCUCCGACGAGGCUCCGGCGAGGCGGGGCUGUGGCGGUGGGGCGACGGCGGCACGNNNNNNNNNNNNNNNNNNNNNNNNNNNNNNNNNNNNNNNNNNNNNNNNNNNNNNNNNNNNNNNNNNNNNNNNNNNNNNNNNNNNNNNNNNNNNNNNNNNNNNNNNNNNNNNNNNNNNNNNNNNNNNNNNNNNNNNNNNNNNNNNNNNNNNNNNNNNNNNNNNNNNNNNNNNNNNNNNNNNNNNNNNNNNNNNNNNNNNNNNNNNNNNNNNNNNNNNNNNNNNNNNNNNNNNNNNNNNNNNNNNNNNNNNNNNNNNNNNNNNNNNNNNNNNNNNNNNNNNNNNNNNNNNNNNNNNNNNNNNNNNNNNNNNNNNNNNNNNNNNNNNNNNNNNNNNNNNNNNNNNNNNNNNNNNNNNNNNNNNNNNNNNNNNNNNNNNNNNNNNNNNNNNNNNNNNNNNNNNNNNNNNNNNNNNNNNNNNNNNNNNNNNNNNNNNNNNNNNNNNNNNNNNNNNNNNNNNGAGUCCGACUCGGACUCCGGUCCGAGUCGGCGGCGGCGACGCGCGGUCUCCAGGAGGGAGACAUCGGCGCGGGGAAGGUGGGCCGGUGGCUGGGCUUCGGCCUAACUAGCCACUGCGCGUUCUUUUUUUAAAAUAAUUCCGCCGAAACUAAAAAAAUCCUAGAAAAUAAAAUAAAAUUCUAAAAAUGCCAAAACAAAUUUUCGCAGUCUAAAUAAAAUAUUUAGAACAAGGUGAACAUUUUCUUGGCCCUAAAAUGCAAUUUUGAAAACCGUGCAAUUUUUCUAAUUUGAAUAAAAUAGCAAUAAACUCCGGAUAAAAAUCAAAUAUUUGAUUUUAAUAUUUUUCCUGCAAUAUUUCCUUUAUUUUGGAGAAGUCAUAUUAUCUCCUCUCAUGUAUUUUAAUAUGAAAUAUUUUCGGAGAGAAAAAAUAAUUAAAACCAAAAUCCUCGUUUCAAUAUUUGAUAAAACUCAAAUAUGAAAACUGGGAAAUCCCCAACUCUCUCCGAGGAUCCUUGAGUUGCUUAGGAUUUCGAGGAUCACAAAAUGAAAUGCAAUAAAAUAUGAUAUGCAUGAAUGAUCUAUGUAUAACAUUCCAAAUUGAAAAUUUGGGAUGUUACAAUAUAUUGCCAUGCAACUUUCCACCAUUCCGUUUAUUAUGACACGCUCCAUCCUUGUCAUAUUGCUUUGCAUGAUCAUGUAGUUGACAUCAUAUUUGUGGCAAAGCCACCUUCAUAAUUCUUUCAUACAUGUCACUCUUGAUUCAUUGCAUAUCCCGGUACACCGCCGGAGGCAUUCACAUAGAGUCAUAUUUUGUUCUAAGUAUCGAGUUGUAAUUCUUGAGUUGUAAGUAAAUAAAAGUGUGAUGAUUUUCAUUAUUAGAGCAUUGUCCCAUGUGAGGAAAGGAUGAUGGCGACUAUGAUUCCCCCACAAGUCGGGAUGAGAUUUUGGGCGAAAAAUAAAAAAAAAGAGGCCAUAAAAAAGAGAAAAAGGCCCAAAUAAAUAAAAAAAUGAAAAUGAGAGAAAAAGAGAGAAGGGGCAAUGUUACUACCCUUUUUCCACACUUGUGCUUCAAAGUAGCACCAUGAUCUUGAUGAUAGAGAGUCUCCUAUUUUGUCACUUUCAUAUACUAGUGGGAAUUUUUCAUUAUAGAACUUGGCUUGUAUAUUCCAAUGACGGGCUUCCUCAAAAUGCCCUAGGUCUUCAUGAGCAAGCAAGUUGGAUGCACACCCACUUAGUUUGUUUUGUUGAGCUUUCAUAUAUUUAUAGCUCUAGUGCAUCCGUUGCAUGACAAUCCCUACUCCUUGCAUUGACAUCAAUUGAUGCGUAUCUCCAUAGCCCAUUGAUUAGCCGCGUCAAUGUGAUACUUUCUCCUUUUUUGUCUUCUCACAAACCUCCACCAUCAUAUUCUAUUCCACCCAUAGUGCUAUGUCCAUGGCUCGCGCUCAUAUACCGCGUGAAAGUUGAAAGAGUUUGAAAAGGCUAAGUAUGAAACAAUUGCUUGGCUUGCCAUAGGGGUUGUGCAUGAUGGGAGCAUUUUGUGUGACAAAAAUGAAGCAUGGAAAAACUAUAUGAUUUUGUAGGGAUAAGCUUUCUUUGGUUAUGUUAUUUUGAUAAGACAUAAUUGCUUGGUUAGCAUGCUUGAAGUAUUAUUAUUUUUAUGUCAAUAUUGAACUUUUAUCUAGAAUCUUUUGGAUCUAAACAUUCAUGCCGCAAUAAAGAGAAUUACAUUGAAAAUUUGUGUUAGGUAGCAUUCCACAUCAAAAAAAUCUGUUUUUAUCAUUUACCUACUCGAGGACGAGCAUGAAUUAAGCUUGGGGAUGCUUGAUACGUCUCCAACGUACCUAUAAUUUUUGAUUGUUCCAUGCUAUUAUAUUAUCUGUUUUUGGAUCUUUAAUGGGCUUUAUUAUGCACUUAUAUUUUUUUUGGGACUAACCUAUUAACCGAAGGCCCAGUGCAAAUUGCUAUUUUUUUGCCUAUUUCAGUGUUUCGCAGAAAAGGAAUAUCAAACGGAAUCCAAACGGAAUGAAACCUUCGCGAGGAUCUUUUUUGGAACAAACGCAAUCCAGGAGACUUGGAGUGGAGGUCAAGGAAGCAAAGAGGUGGCCACGAGGUAGGGCGGCACACUCAGGGGGCAGGUGCGCUCCCCACCCUCGUGGGCCCCUCGUAGCUCUACCGACCUACUUCCUUCGCCUAUAUAUACUCUUAUAUCCUGAAAACAUCCAGGAGAGCUACGGAACCACUUUUCCACCGCCACAACCUUCUGUACCCAUGAGAUCCCAUCUGGGGACCUUUUCCGGUGAUCUGCCGGAGGGGGAUUCGAUCACAGAGGGCUUCUACAUCAACACCAUAACCUCUCUGAUGAUGUGUGACUAGUUUACCAGAGACCUUUGGGUCCAUAGUUAUUAGCUAGAUGGCUUCUUCUCUCUCUUUGGAUCUCAAUACAAAGUUAUCCUUGAUGUUCUUGGAGAUAUAUUCGAUGUAAUUCUUUUUGAGGUGUGUUUGCCGAGAUCCGAUGAAUUGUGGGUUUAUGAUCAAGUUUAUCUAUGAACAAUAUUUGAUUCUUCUCUGAAUUCUUAUGUGCAUGAUUUGAUAUCUUUGCAAGUCUCUUCGAAUUAUCAGUUUGGUUUGGCCAACUAGAUUGAUCUUUCUUGCAAUGGGAGAAGUGCUUAGCUUUGGGUUCAAUCUUGCGGUGCUCGAUCCUAGUGACAGAAAGGGAACCAACACGUAUUUUAUUGUUGACAUCGAGGAUAAAAAGAUGGGUUUUAUAUCAUAUUGCUUGAGUUUAUCCCUCUACAUCAUGUCAUCUUGCCUAAUGCGUUACUCUGUUCUUAUGAACUUAAUACUCUACAUGCAUGCUGGAUAGCGGUCGAUGUGUGGAGUAAUAGUAGUAGAUGCAGAAUUGUUUCGGUCUACUUGACACGGACGUGAUGCCUAUGUUUAUGAUCAUGCCUAGAUAUUCUCAUAACUAUGCGCUUUUCUAUCAAUUGCUCGGCAGUAAUUUGUUCACCCACCGUAAUAUAUGCUAUCUUGAGAGAAGCCACCAGUGAAACCUAUGGCCCCCGGGUCUACUUUACAUCAUAUAAGUUUCCGAUCUACAAUUCUAGUUUACUAUUUAUUUUGCAAUCUUUAUUUUCCAAUCUAUACAACGAAAAUACCAAAAAUAUUUAUGUUAUUAUCUUUAUCAGAUCUCACUUUCGUAAGUGACUGUGAAGGGAUUGACAACCCCUUUAUCGCGUUGGUUGCGAGGUUCUUGUUUGUUUGUGCAGGUACUAGGCGACUUGCGUGUAGUCUCCUUCUAGAUUGAUACCUUGGUUCUCAAAAACUAAGGGAAAUACUUACACUACUUUGCUGCAUCACCCUUUCCUCUUCAAGGGAAAAACAACGCAUGCUCAAGAGGUUGCAGUAUGUGACUCCAUCGUUUGUCCAGCUAGUUUUUGUUUUAGUUGUUUAUAUUUUGAAUAAUUAGCUAGUAUUGGUGCUGUUGUAUAUGAGCUUGCAUGUUGAAUUCUCAGAGUUCUAAGUAGUUUGAAUGCUUGCUAUGGCCUCUAUGUAUCCCUUUGAGUAGUUGGUAUCAUUUUUGUGAAGUUCUGUUGAGAAAAUUUUGUGGACUAAAAAUUUCAAGAUUUUUGUUGAUAGGAAAAACAUGAAUAUCUUUAGGAAGUUUGGUUCCAAGAAGAACUCCAAGAGAGUUAUUGGGGAGUCGUCUGACACUGAUCUGCACCCCUAGAGGUUGGCGGAAGUACGGCCAUGUGAAUGGCCGCAUACCCCAUUCGUGGAAGAGGCUAGAAUCCUGCAAGAGUUUACAAAAUAUGUUGCUAAUGUCGGCCUCACCAACUUCAUCGCAACUGAAUGUGAACAGUGUCAUCUCCUCACAAACACCUUUGUUCCAAGUUUUAAUUUCUUUCCUAGGAAUAAUCCUCCUGAGGUGUAGUUUAAUUUAUAUGCUGAAACCCGUCAGAUACCACUUACUGAAUUUUGUAACAUAUGCAUGAUCCCUUAUGACGGGAGUUUAGUUGAGCCUAGGCUGACAGAGUUUGAGGCCUUUUAUCGUACCUUGACAGUGGGAGAUGAGAGAGGAGUGUCGUUCGUCACUGCCACUAGCAUACAUUUUCCUGCCAUGCAUUACUUUGCUUUAUUUGUUGCUAAGUGUUUGCUUGCUAGAGAAAAAGUAGGUGCGCUCAGCGCACCAGACUUUGCUUUUUUACGUCGUGCACUAGAGGGCGACAACACUUAUAGCUUGGGAGCUAUUGUGGCACGUCGCCUCCAUGUUAAUAAGUCCAAGGAUAAGAUACAUGGUGGAAUUUUUGCUACUCGUUUGGUGACUCACUUUAAUGUUGAGAUACGCCUUCAUGAUUACCCACUGACCAAGGUUUACCUAGAUCACGCGACCAUGGAUCACCACCAUUUUACUGAUAUCGAAUCUCCUAACAUCCCUGUUCCAUAUAACCUGGUUUUUAGUGUGAAGACUCAUGAUAUUAUUCCAUUGCCUGCUCCUGCUUUGUUUGACCCUGUUGCCAAGGGCGGAUAUAGGAUUAUGCCUGUGGACAUCAUCGCCUACCAGAACAAUCGGGUUGUAGCAGAGGAGGAGCCUCAUCAGUGGGAUGCAUGGAUGCUCGCUCCUCAGCACCCCAACUACUGACAUUACAUUCAUGUUCACACAUCUCAUUCCAGUUGUCGGUGUUUACACUUUUUCAUUGUAUCAUACAUGCUUAAUUUUAUUUUCUUGCUUUCUUCUUGUGUGUUUGAAAAACCUUAGAAAAAACAAAAAAAAUAGUUAUAGUUAAUUUACUUUCUAUGCAUGCUUAGCUGUAGCACUAAAAAUAAAAUCCAAAAAGUUUCCCUUGUUCUUCUUUUGCUUGUUGGGAGCUUUCCCGUGUAAAUCGUUUUUCUCGUUUUUUGCUUUCCCUUUUAUUCGCAUGUUCAAGAAAACCAAAAACUCCAAAAAUAUUUUAGUGUGUUUCUCUGCAUUUCUUUUUUUAUCCGAGUCAUACCAAGGAGAAGACCACGAUGAAAAUGUUGAGUGGCUCUCAUUUGAAUAGUUGUUGAUCUAAUAAAGAGCCCAUUUUACCUUGUCUUCUCCUAUUGAAUAAAACGUUUGCAGAUUCCAGCUUAGUCCACGGCACACUUGCUCUAUUAUUAUGUUCACAUUGUUCGGUCGUGCAAGUGAAAGGCAAUAAUGACGAUAUUCUAUGAACCGGCCGUGGUAGAGAGAAACAUAUAUGAACUCGACUUGUUCUGUUUGUGUAAAUAUGUUUAACCUUGUAUCCAUGAUUCAGCCAAUUAUGAUUAAACAUGUUUGCAGUGACAAUUAGAGAUUAUAGUUUCUCAUGCCAUGCAUAAGUAGUUGGGAGUGGAUAAUGAUUUAUCUUGGAUAUCCACAUUGUGUUAAAAUGAUUGUGAUGUAGUAUGAUGAUAUGGUAUACUCCUCUAAACAUUCGAGUGGCUUGACUUGGCACAUUUUCAUGCAUGUAGUUGAAUCAAAACCAACAUAGCCUCUAUGAUAUUUAUGUUCAUGGUGUUCAUAUCCUACUCAUGCUAGUGUCCAAUGUUACUUAUGCAUAAUGCAUGUUCAUGACCGUUGUUGCUCUCUAGUUGGCCGCUUCUCAAUCUAAUUGCUAGCCUUCGCCUGUACUAUGUGGGAAUUCUGCUUAUACAUCAAAAACCUUGAACCCAAGUUAUUCCAGAUGAGUUCACCAUACCUACCUAUAUGCGGUAUUACCCUGUCGUCCUAAGUAAAUUUGCAUGUGCCACCUCUAAAAAAACUUCUAAUAAAUAUCCUUUUGUGUGUGCCUGGAUCGUUCAUGGAACGACAUGAGGUGGUCGGUAUCUUCCAUACUAAGCGGGUUAUUCUCAGGUCAAGUGUUUAUUCGCUCGCCAUCGCACGAGAAAAGGGCGGUAAUAGGGAUGCACAGUCCCAAAUUGCAAACAGAAAAAGUUUACAAAUAAUCAAACAAAAACUCCCAAUGGAGUCAAAACUUUUACUUUUAUCGCUUGGGAACCGCCACUAGUGUGCCUAGCAUGGAAGAUAUUGAUAACUGAUGGUCGUGAAGUAAAUGAGAAGGGUGCAUGUAUCAAAAAAUCAUUUACCUCUGUUUUAAAACUUGAGCUCUGGCACCUCUGGAAAUCACUGCUUCCCUCUACGAAGGGACUAUCUAUUUACUUUUAUGUUGUGUCAUCACCUUCUAAAAUAAGCACCAGAACUUGAGAGCACUACUAUCAUGCUUAUGCAUUGUGUGUAGAUAAUGUUGGGUGCAUCAUGACUGGAUCUUUUCUACCAUGAGUUACAAUGUUUAGUCGCUGCUUGAACUUUGGAGGUACUUUGCAUUUAUGUUUUGUGGUCUCAGAAAGGGCUAGCGAGGUACUGAUACGUCUCCAACGUAUCUAUAAUUUUUGAUUGUUCCAUGUUGUUAUAUUAUCAAUCUUGGAUGUUUCAUGAUAAUUUUAUAGUCAUUUUAUAUCAUUUUUUGGUACUAACCUAUUGACAUAGUGCCAAGUGCCAGUUGCUAUUUUUCCAUGUUUUUUACAUUGCAUAAAAUCAAUAUCAAUUGGAGUCCAAAUGCCACAAAACUUUACAGAGAAUUUUUAUGGGCCAAAAGGAACACAACGGCCCUGGCUGCGCCCGGGGGUGCCCCGAGGAAGGCACAACCCACCAGGGCACGCCAGGAGGCCCAGACGCGCCCUGGUGGGUUGUGCCCACCUCGGGUGCACCCCCGGACCACCUCUUUGCUCUAUAAAUACCCCAAUAUACCAGAAACCCUAUGGGAGUCAACGAAAUAUUCAUCCAGCUACCGCAGAGUUCAGAACCACCAGAUCCAAUCUAGACACCAUCUCGGAUGGGGUCCACCACCUCCAUUGGUGCCUCUCUGAUGAUGCGUGAGUAGUUCUUUGUAGACCUUCGGGUCCGUAGUUAGUAGCUAGAUGGCUUCAUCUCUCUCUCUCUCUUGAUUCUCAAGACAAUGGUCUCUUGGAGAUCCAUAUGAUGUAACACUUUUGCGGUGUGUUUGUGGGGAUCGAUGAACUUUGAGUUUAUGAUCAGAUCUAUCUUUUUAUAUCUGUGAAAGUAUUUGAGUUUCUUUGCUCUCUUUUAUGCAUGAUCUCUUAUAGCCUCGUAUUUAUUAGCUGAUAAUUGGGUUUUGUUUGGCCAACUUGACCUAUUUAUCUUGCAAUGGGAAGAGGUGGUUUGUAGUGGAUUCGAUCUUAUGGUGCUCGAUCCCAGUGACAGGAAGGGAAACAACACGUAUGUAUCGUUGCUACUAAGGAUAAAACGAUGGGGACUAUCUCUACAUAGAUAGAUCUUGUCUACAUCAUGUCAUCAUUAUUAUUGCAUUACUCCGUUUCUCCAUGAACUUAAUACACUAGAUGCAUGUUGGAUAGUGGUCGAUGUGUGGAGUAAUAGUAGUAGAUGCAGGCAGGAGUCGGUCUACUAAUCUUGGACGUGAUGCCUAUGUAAUGAUCAUUGCCCGGAUAUUGCCAUGAGUAUUUGAAGUUCUAUCAAGUGCUCAACAGUAAUUUGUUCACCCACCGCUUUGCUAUUUUUCUCGAGAGAAGCCACUAGUGAAACCUACGCCCCCGGGUCUCUUCCUCAUAUUAUUUUCCUUUGCGAUAUACUUUUAUUUGCCUUUAUUUUCAGAUCUAUUAAUCCAAAAACCCAAAAAUACUUUGCUGCACUUUAUUUUAUUUGCGAUCUAUUUAUUCAAUCUAUUGCAACCUUUCCCCGUCACACACCAAUUUGUGGCACCGUACCCGAGAGGGAUUGACAACCCCUUUAACACGUCGGGUUGCGAGGAUUUGUUAUCUGUGUGCAGGGGCUGUUUAUGUUGUGUUGCUUGGUUCUCCUACUGGUUCGAUAACCUUGGUUUCAUAUCCGAGGGAAAUACCUACCACUGCUGUCCCGCGUCAUCUCUUCCUCUUUGGGGAAAUACCGACAUAGCUUCAAGCGACAUCAAAUGGAAUUUCUGGCGCCGUUGCCGGGGAAAAUCAAGUCAAGUCUCUCGACAACUCGCCAAUUUCUAGCGCCGUUGCCGGGGAGGAUCUUCAACAUAUACCAGGUUCCUAAUCACAAAUCUCAUCUCCUUGCAAUAUACAUUAUUUGCCAUUUGCCUCUCGUUUUCCUCUCCCCCACUUCACACAAAUUUGCCGUUUUAUUCACCUCUCUUUUUUCGUUCGUCGUUUUCUUGUCGGAUCUAUUUUCAUGUGUGUUCUUGUUUACGUAGUCAUGAUGCCUCAAAGAAAAUAUUAUGAUGUUCCUUACCCCAAUAUUUUACUUGAAUUUGAGAAAAGUACUAAGGAAUAUAUGAUUACACAAUUUGAGCAUAAUAAGUAUUUUACCGAAGAGCUUAAGGAACACUUCGUUGUGCUUGAUGCUAUAACAAAACAACUUGAUGCCAUUAGUAGAGAAGGUUGCAAUCUCCAAUCUAAGUAUGCUUUUGCUGAAAGUUUGCUAGAAAAAUAUCCAAUGCACAAGCUACUCUAGUUAAUUAAAUGGCCGCUAAACCAAUCUCACUAGAGGAUAAAAGUGAUGAAGAUCUUAAAAUGAUUGGUGUUUCUUCUAUUGAUUCCUUGUUUAGUAAAGUUAAUAUUGAUGAAAAAGGGACUGGAGAAGAGUCAACUAUAGGUAGAAGGCGUCCCAACAUUUUAGAGAGUGAAAAUCUUGACGAGAAAAUUGAUAAAAGUGGGUUUGAAGAGGUCAAAACUUUAGCUAGUGAUGUGCCCACUCUUUUGGAUUACAAAGACUUUAAUUAUGAUAGUUGCUCUUUGAUUGAUUGUAUCUCUUUGUUGCAAUCCAUGAUAAAUCCACCCCAUGCUUAUGAACGAAAUAAAGCUUUUACUAAACAUAUUGUUGAUGCUAUGAUGAAAGCUUUUGAAGAAAGAAUGGAAUUAAAAGUUUAAAUUCCUAGAAAAUUACAUGAUGAAUGGGAACCUACUAUCAAAGUCAAGAUUAAAAAUUAUGAGUGUUUUGCUUUGUGUGACUUGGGUGCUGGUGUUUCUACUAUUCCGAAAUCUUUAUGUGAUGUGCUUGGUCUUACCGAUCUUGAAUUGUGUUCUUUGAAUUUGCACUUGGUGGAUUCUACUAUUAAAAAGCCUAUGGGAAGAAUUAUGUGCCCAUAGAUUUUAUUGUUCUUGAUAUUGAUUGCAAUUUGUUUUGUCCAAUUAUUCUUGGUAGAUCGUUUUUACGCACUAUUGGUGCCGUGACUGAUAUGAAAGAAGGCAAUAUUAAGUUCAAUUUUCCUUUGAGGAAGGGUAUGGAACACUUUCUUAGAACAAGAAUUAGGCCAACAUAUGAAUCAACCACGAGGGCAUCUUAUGGAUCUCGAACCAAACAUGACAAAACUUAGAUCCUUGCUUUAUGCCUAGCUAAGGGCGUAAAACUAUAACGCUUGUUGGGAGGCAACCCAAUGAAUAAAAUUUAUCUUGGCUUUUUGCUUCCUGUUUUUUAGUGCUAGCACAAUUAUGCUACUGUUAUGAUUGUGUGUUUUUAUGUUUUAAUUAGUGUUUGUGCCAAGUAAAGCCUUUAGGAUCUUCUUGGGUGAUAGUUGUUUGAUCUUGCUGAAAAAAACAAAAUCUUUUGCGCUCAUGAAAAUAAUUUUCAUUUUUUACCAUAGACCGAGAAAAUACCCAUUCCACUUGCAGUACAUCAAUAUACAAAUUUCUCAUGUUUUCCUAUUUUUUCAGAAUUUUUGGAGUUACGGAAGUGUUCGAAAUAGUCAGAUUGCUACAGACUGUUCUGUUUUGACAGAUUCUGUUUUCUUUGUGUUGUGUGCUUAUUUUGAUGGCUCUAUGGUUUUCUUUGAUGAGUUUUUUCCAUAGAAAAGUUGGAAUACAGUAGAUAUAACACAAGAACAAAAUAUGAAUUGGUUUGAUACAACACUUAUAGUAGUGAUUUAUUAUUCUUAUACUAACAGAUCUUACGAAGGUUUUGUUGAGUUUUGUGUGAUUGAAAUUUUCAAGUUUUGGGUUAUCUUACGAUGGAUGAAGGAAUAAGGAGUAGAAGAGCCUAAGCUUGGGGAUGCCCCGGCAUCCCAAGCUAUUACCCAAAAAUAAUCAACCAACUAAGCAUCACAUACUAUGUGUUUUGCUUGGAGCGUCUUGUAUUAUAUGAGUCUUUGCUUGUAUUAUUUUGUGCUUUAAGUAUUGAUCCUUUGCUGGACACACCUAUUUGAGAGAGCAAAAAAUAUGUCAUGACUUGUUAGAAUUGCUCUCUAUGCUUCACUUAAAUUUUUAUGAGCAAUGGGCUUGCUCUAGUGCUUCACUUAUAUCUUUUUGAGCAUGGUGUACUUAGUAUUUUUGAAGAAAUGCUCUCCUACUUCACUUAGAUUCAUUUGAGAGGUAGUAAAAUUUUCAAGAAAUUCUCUCUUGCUUCACUUAAAUUAAUUUGAGUGAAAGAAAUAUUAUGCUCAUGAUCUUCAUUUAUAUUUGUUUGAGCUUGUCAAAAGCAACGUAUGAAAAUUAGUCCCAAAGUGAUAGAUAUCCAAGAAGGAUAUAAUAAAAACUUUCAUGAAGAUCAUUGGACAAAAUAGACUUGAUUCUUAGUAAUAGUUUUGAGAUAUGAUGAUGUGAUAUGUGAGUCAUCUUGAUGAGUAAUUAUGCUUUAGUAAGAUUAUUGGUGUUAAGGUUUGUGGCUCCCUAUACAAGCAUGAAAGUCAAUAGUUAUGCAAUGAAAUUAUAUCCUACUUAUGGUGCAUUAUUCGGUGUUAGUUAUGCUUAAUGCUCGCUUAUGAGAUUAUUCGUUUCUUGGUUGGUCUCUUCCCAAUCUUUUGCCAGCCUUCAUUUUGCACUAAGUACGAUCACUACCUGUGCAUCCAAAAACCUUUAACCAGUUUUGCCACAUGAGUCCACUACAUCUACCUAUAUAUGGUAUUCUUUUGCCUUCUAAGCAAAUUUGCAUGUGCCAUCUCUAAUUUUCAAAAGAAACUUCUCUUUUGUGUGUUUGUUUCGCUCGUGGAGUGGUGAGGGGUGGCUAAUAUUUUCCAUGCUAGAUGUGUUAUUCUCAAGAUGAGUGUUUAUUCACUUGUCAUUGCAUGAGAGUAAGGCAAAGGUAUUAGGGAUGCCCAGUCCCGAAAUGCAAAAAAAUGAAUUUACUUUAUGUUGUCAAAUAAUAAAUUCCUUGGAAAGUGUUGGUAUGGAGGGCACCCGUGGAUACGGUUAGCCAUGGAAAGUGAAAGUAUGGUGGAAAAUGGAAUAAACUUUAUUUUUUGUUUGGGAACCUCCUAUGAUAUAUCUAUGCAUGGAAAGUAUUUGGAACUCUAAGUCGUUUUCUUUGGUGGGAUGAAUACACCUCCCAAAAUGUUUUUAUCUCUAAGUUUUUUGCUUUGAGCUCUGGCACCUCUACAAAUCCCUACUUCCCUCUACGAAGGGCCUUUCUUUUACUUUAUGCAAUUUUUAUUUUGAAUUUGAGUCUCCAUCUUCUCUUAUAAAAGAACCAACUAGGAGGCAAUAUGAUCGUGCUUGAGUAUUUUACAUAGCUAAUAUGCGAGUGUGUUUCAAGAAUGGAUCAAUGGUUGAGCAUGAUGGGCUAGGGUUAGCUUAUUUUAGCGUUGAUAUUCUGAUAGACAUGGUUGCUUAUUGAUAUGCUUGAGUAUUUAAAUUAUCAUGUCAAAACUAGACUAUUGCUUUGAACAAUAUAAAAGUCCAAAUGUCCGUGCUAUAAGGAAAGAAAUAUGAUAUGACAAGUUAGGCAACAUUCCACAUCAAAAAUUCUGUUUUUACCACUUCCCUACUCGAGGACGAGUAGGAGUUAAGCUUGGGGAUGCUGAUAUGUCUCCAACGUAUAUAUAAGUUUUGAUUGUUCCAUGCUGUUAUAUUAUCAAUCUUGGAUGUUUUAUAACCAUUUUAUAGUCAUUUUGUAUCAUUUUUUGGUACUAACCUAUUGAGAUAGUGCCAAGUGCUAGUUGUUGGUUUUUUUCCAUGUUUUUUACAUCGCAGAAAAUCAAUAUCAAAUGGAGUCCAAAUGCCACAAAAAUUUACGGAGAAUUUUUAUGGGCCAAAAGGAACACAAUGGGCCCUGGCUGCGCCCGGGGGUGCCCCGAGGGAGGCACAACCCACCAGGGCGUGCCAGGAGGCGCAGGCGUGCCCUGGUGGGUUGUGCCCACCUCAGGUGCCCCCGGACCGCCUCUUUGCUAUAUAAAUACCCCAAUAUUCCAGAAACCCUAGGGGAGUCAACGAAAUAUUCAUCCAGCCGCCGCAGAGUCUAGAGCCACUAGAUCCAAUCUAGACACCAUCUCGGAUGGGGUUCACCACCUCCAUUGGUGCCUCUUCGAUGAUGCGUGAGUAGUUCUUUGUAGACCUUCGGGUCCGUAGUUAAUAUCUAGAUGGCUUCAUCUCUCUCUCUCUUGUGGCUCAAUACAAUGGUCUGUUGGAGAUCCAUAUGAUGUAACUCUAUUGCGGUGCGUUUGUUGGGGUCGAUGAACUUUGAGUUUAUGAUCAGAUCUAUCUUUUUAUAUGCAUGAAAUUAUUUGAGUUUCUUUGAUAUCUUUUAUGCAUGAUCUCUUAUAGCCUCGUAUUUCUUCUCCGAUAAUUGGGUUUUGUUUGUCCAACUUGAUCUAUUUAUCUUGCAAUGGGAAGAGGUGCUUUGUAGUGGGUUCGAUCUUAUAGUGCUUGAUCCUAGUGACAGAAAGGGAAAGAACACAUAUGUAUCGUUGCUACUAAGGAUAAAACGAUGGGGUCUAUCUCUACAUAGAUAGAUCUUGUCUACAUCAUGUCAUCAUUCUUAUUGCAUUACUCUGUUUCUCCAUGAACUUAAUACACUAGAUGCAUGUUGGAUAGCGAUCGAUGUGUGGAGUAAUAGUAGUAGAUGUAGGCAGGAGUCGGUCUACUAAUCUUGGACGUGAUGCCUUUGUAAUGAUCAUUGCCUGGAUAUUGUCAUGAGUAUUUGAAGUUCUAUCAAUUUCCCAACAGUAAUUUGUUCACCCACCGCUUUGCUACUUUUCUCGAGAGAAGCCACUAGUGAAACCUACCGCCCCAGGAUCUCUUUCAUACUAUUUGCCUUUGCGAUCUACUUUUAUUUGCCUUUAUUUUCAACUCUAUUAAUCCAAAAACCCAAAAAUACUUUGCUGCACUUUAUUUUAUUUGUGAUCUAUUUAUUCAAUCUAUUACAACCUUUCCCCGUCACGCACCUAUUUUUGGCACCGUACCCGAAAGGGAUUGUCAACCCCUUUAACACGUUGGCUUGCGAGGAUUUGUUAUCUGUGUGCAGGGGCUGUUUACGUUGUGUUGCUUGGUUCUCCCACUGGUUCGAUAACCUUGGUUUUAUAUAUGAGGGAAAUACCUACCGCCGCUAUGCUGCAUCAUCCCUUCCUCUUUGGGGAAAUAGCGACGUAGCUUCAAGCGACAUCUAAUGGAAUUUCUGGCGCCGUUGCCGGGGAAAAUCAAGUCAAGUCUCACGACAAGUCACCAAUUUUUGGCACCAUUGCCGGGGAGGAUCUUCAACAUAUACCAGGUUCGUAAUCACAAAUAUCAUCUCCUUGCAAUUUACAUUAUUUGCCAUUUGCCUCUCAUUUUAUUCUCCCCCACUUCACAAAAAUUUGCCGGUUUAUUCGCCUCUCUUUUUCUGUUCACCGUUUUCUUGCUGGAUCUGUUUUUGUGUGUGUUCUUGUUUGCGUAGUCAUGAUGCCUCAGAAAAUAUUAUGAUUUUCCUUACCCCAAUAUUUUACUUGAAUUUGAGAAAGUACUAAGGAAUAUAUGACUACACAAUUUGAGCAUAAUAAGUAUUUUACCGAAGAGCUUAAGGAACACUCCGUUGUGCUUGAUGCUAUAACAAAACAACUUGAUGCCAUUAGUAGAUAAGUUUGCAAUCUCCAAUCUAAGUAUGAUUUUGCUGAAAGUUUGCUAGAAAAAUAUCCGAUGCACAAGCUACUCUAGUUAAUCAAAUGGCCGCUAAACCAAUCUCACUAGAGGAUAAAAGUGAUGAAGAUCUUAAAAUGAUUGGUGUUUCUUCUAUUGAUUCCUUGUUUAGUAAAGUUAAUAUUGAUGAAAAAGGGACUGGAGAAGAGUCAACUUUAGGUAGAAGGCGUCCCAAUAUUUCAGAGGGUGAACAUCUUGAUGAGAAAAUUGAUAAAAGUGGGUUUGAAGAGGUCAAAACUUUAGCUAGUGAUGCGCCCACUCUUUUGGAUUACAAAGACUUUAAUUAUGAUAGUAUCUCUUUGAUUGAUUGUAUUUCUUUAUUGCAAUCCAUGAUAAAUCCACCCCAUGCUUAUGAACAAAAUAAAGCUUUUACUAAACAUAUUGUUGAUGCUAUGAUGAAAGCUUUUGAAGAAAGAAUGGAAUUAAAAGUUUAAAUUCCUAGAAAAUUACAUGAUGAAUGGGAACCUACUAUCAAAGUCAAGAUUAAAAAAUAUUAGUGUUUUGCUUUGUGUGACUUGGGUUCUAGUGUUCCUACUAUUCUGAAAUCUUUAUCUGAUGUGCUUGGUCUUACCGAUCUUGAAUUAUGUUCUUCGAAUUUGCACUUGGCGGAUUCUACUAUUAAAAAGCCUAUGGGAAAAAUUAAUGAUGUUCUUAUUCUUGCAAAUAGGAAUUAUGUGCCCAUAGAUUUUAUUGUUCUUGAUAUUGAUUGCAAUUCGUCUUGUCCAAUUAUUCUUGGUAGACCGUUUUUACGCACUAUUGGUGCCGUGAUUGAUAUGAAAGAAGGCAAUAUUAAGUUCCAAUUUCCUUUGACGAAGGGUAUGGAACACUUUCUUAGAAGAAUAAUUAGGCCACCAUAUGAAUCGGUCAUGAUGGCAUCUUAUGGAUCUCGAACCCAAGAUGACAAAACUUAGAACCUUGCUUGAUGCCUAGCUAAGGGCGUAAAACUAUAGCGCUUGUUGGGAGGCAACCCGAUGAAUAAAAUUUAUCUUUGCUUUUUUGCUUCCUAUUUUUUAGUUCUAGCACAAUUAUGCUACUGUUAUGAUUGUGUUUUUAUGUUUUAAUUAGUGUUUGUGCCAAGUAAAUCCUUUAGGAUCUUCUUGGGUGAUAGUUGUUUGAUCUCGCUGACAAAACAGAAACUUUUGUGCUCACGAAAAUAAUUUUCAUUUUUUACUAGAGAGCGAUAAAAUACCCAUUCCACUUGCAGUACAUCAAUAUGCAAAUUUCUCAGGCCUUCCUAAUUUUUCAGAAUAUUUCGAGUUACGGAAGUAUUCGAAAUAGUCAGAUUGCUAAGGACUGUUCUGUUUUGACAGAUUCUGUUUUCUGUGUGUUGUGUGCUUAUUUUGAUGGCUCUAUGGUUUUCUUUGAUGAGUUUUUACCAUAGAAAAGUUGGAAUGCAGUAGAUAUAAUACAAGAACAGAAUAUGAAUUGGUUUUAUGCAACACUUAUAGUAGUGAUUUAUUAUUCUUAUACUAACGGAUCUCACAAAAGUUUUGUUGAGUUUUGUGUGAUUGAAGUUUUCAAGUUUUGGGUUAUCUUACGAUGGAUGAACGAAUAAGGAGUAGAAGAGACUAAGCUUGGGGAUGCCCCGGCAUCCAAAUAUAUUAUCCAAAAAUGAGUAACCAACUAAGCUUGGGGACGCCCCCGAGUGGCAUCCCCUCUUUCUUCUAACGACCAUCGGUAUUUUACUCGAAACUAUAUUUUUAUUCAUCACAUACUAUGUGUUUUGCUUGGAGCGUCCUGUAUGAUAUGAGUCUUUGCUUGUAUUAUUUUGUGCUUAAUGUCUUGAUCCUUUGCCGGACACACCUAUUUGAGAGAGCCAAAAUUAUGUCAUGACUUGUUAGAAUUGCUCUCUAUGCUUCACUUAAAAUUUUAUGAGCAUUGGGCUUGCUCUAGUGCUUCACUUAUAUCUUUUCGAGCACGGUGUGCUUAGUAUUUUUGAAGAAAUGCUCUCUUGUUUCACUUAUAUUUUUUGAGAGCUAGUAAAAUUUUCAAGAAAUUCUCUCUUGCUUCACUUAAAUUAAUUUGAGAGAAAGAAAUAUUAUGCUCACGAUCUUCACUUAUAUUUGUUUGAGCUUGUCAAAAGCAACGUAUGAAAAUUAGUCCCAAAGUGAUAGAUAUCCAAGAAGGAUAUAAUAAAAACUUUCAUGAAGAUAAUUGGACAAAAUAGACUUGAUUCUUAAUAAUAAUUUUGAGAUAUGAUGAUGUGAUAUGUGAGUCAUCUUAAUGAGUAAUUAUGCUUUAGUAAGAAUGUUGGUGUUAAGGUUUGUGAUUCCCUAUGCAAGCACGAAAGUCAAUAGUUAUGCAAUGAAAUUAUAUCCUACUUAUGGUGCAUUAUUUGGUGUUAGUUAUGCUUAAUGCUCGCUUACGAGAUUAUUUCUUUCUUGGUUGGUCGCUUCCCAAUCUUUUACUAGCCUUCAUUUUGCACUAAGUACGAUCACUACUUGUGCAACCAAAAACCUUUAACCAGUUUUGCCACAUGAGUCCACUAUAUCUAGCUAUAUGCGGUAUUCUUUUGACGUUCUAAGCAAAUUUGCAUGUGCCAUCUCUAAUUUUCAAAAUAAAAUUCUCUUUUGUGUGUUUGUUUCACUCACGGAGUGGUGAGGGGUGGCUAAUAUAUUCCAUGCUAGAUGUGUUAUUCUCAAGAUGAGUGUUUAUUCACUUGUCAUUGCAUGAGAAUAAGGCAAAGGUGUUAGGGAUGCCCAGUCCCGAAAUGCAAAAAAAUGAAUUUACUUUGUGUUGUCAAAUAAUAAAUUCCUUGGAAAGUGUUGGUAUGGAGGGCACCCAUGGAUACGGUUAGCCAUGGAAAGUGAAAGUAUGUUGGAAAAGGAAUAAACUUUAUUUUCUGUUUGGGAACCACCUAUGAUAUAUCUAUGCAUGGGAAGUUUGGGAACUCUAAGUCGUUUUCGUUGGUGGGAUGGAUACACCUCCCAAAAUAUUUUUACCUCUAAGUUUUUCGCUUGGAGCUCUGGCACCUCUACAAAUGCCUACUUCCCUCUACGAAGGGCCUUUCUUUUACUUUAUGCAAUUUUCAUUUUGAAUUCGAGUCUCCGUCUUCUCUAAUAAAAGAACCAACUAGGAGGCAAUAUGAUCGUACUUGUGUAUUGGACAUAGCUAAUAUGUGAGUGUGUUUCAUUAAUGGAUCAAUGGUUGAGCAUGAUGGGCUAGGGAUAGCUUAUUUUAGUGUUGAUAUUUUGAAAGACAUGGUUGCUUGUUGAUAUGCUUGAGUAUUUAAAUUAUCAUUUCAAAACUGGACUAUUGCUUUAAACAAUAUAAAAGUCCAAAUGUCCGUGCUAUAAAGAAAGAAAUAUGAUAUGCCAUGUUAGGCAACAUUCCACAUCAAAAAUUCUAUUUUUAUCACUUCCCUACUCGAGGACGAGUAGGAGUUAAGCUUGGGAAUGCUGAUACGUCUCCAACGUAUAUAUAAGUUUUGAUCGUUUCAUGCUGUUAUAUUAUCAAUAUUGGAUGUUUUAUAACCAUUUUAUAGUCAUUUUAUAUCAUUUUUUGGUACUAACCAAUUGACAUAGUGCCAAGUGCCAGUUGUUGUUUUCCAUGUUUUUUACAACGCAGAAAAUCAAUAUCAAAUGGAGUCCAAAUGCCAUGAAACUUUACGGAGAAUUUUUAUGGGCCAAAAGGAACACAAUGGGCCUUAGUUGCACCUAGGGGGUGCCCUGAGGGAGGCACAACCCACCAGGGCGCGCCAGGAGGCCCAGGCGCGCCAUGGUGGGUUGUGCCCACCUCAGGUGCCCCCGGACCGCCUCUUUGCUUUAUAAAUAUCCCAAUAUUCCAAAAACCCUAGGGGAGUUAACGAAAUAUUCAUCCAGCCACCGCAGAGUCCAGAACCACCAGAUCCAAUCUAGACACCAUCUCUGAUGGGGUUCACCACCUCCAUUGCUGCCUCUCCGAUGAUGCGUGAGUAGUUCAUUGUAGACCUUUGGGUCCGUAGUUAGUAUUUAGAUGGCUUCAUCUCUCUUCUCUCUCUCUCUCUUGAUUCUCAAUACAAUGGUCUCUUAAAGAUCCAUAUGAUGUAACUCUAUUGCGGUGCGUUUGUUGGGAUCAAUGAACUUUGAGUUUAUGAUCAGAUCUAUCUUUUUAUAUCCAUGAAAGUAUUUGAGUUUCUUUGAUAUCUUUUUUGCAUGAUCUCUUAUAGCCUCGUAUUUCUUCUCCGAUAAUUGGGUUUUGUUUGACCAACUUGAUCUAUUUAUCUUGCAAUGGUUAGAGGUGCUUUGUAGUGGGUUCGAUCUUACAAUGCUUGAUCCCAGUGACAGAAAAGGAAAGAACACGUAUGCAUCGUUGCUACUACGGAUAAAACGAUGGGGUCUAUCUCUAAAUAGAUAGAUCUUGUUUACAUCAUGUCAUCAUUCUUAUUGCAUUACUCUAUUUCUCCAUGAACUUAAUACACUAGAUGCAUGUUGGAUAGCGGUCGAUGUGUGGAGUAAUAGUAGUAGAUGCAGGCAGGAGUCGGUCUACUAAUCUUGGAAGUGAUGCCUAUGUAAUGAUCAUUGCCUGGAUAUCAUCCUGAGUAUUUGAAGUUCUAUCAGUUGCCCAACAGUAAUUUGUUCACCCACCGCUUUGCUAUUUUUCUCGAGAGAAGCCACUAGUGAAACCUACGCCCCCCGGGUCUCUUUCUCAUAUUAUUUGCCUUUGCAAUCUUCUUUUAUUUGCCUUUAUUUUCAGAUCUAUUAAUCCAAAAACCCAAAAAUACUUUGCUGCACUUUAUUUUAUUUGUGAUCUAUUUAUUCAAUCUAUUACAACCUUUCCCCGUCACGCACCAAUUUGUGGCACCGUACCCGAAAGGGAUUGAGAACCCCUUUAACACGUCGGGUUGCCGGGGAGGAUCUUCAACAUAUACCAGGUUCCUAAUCACAAAUCUCAUCUCCUUGCAAUUUACAUUAUUUGCCAUUUGCCUCUCGUUUUCCUCUCCCCCACUUCACAAAAAGUUGCCGUUUUAUUCGCCUCUCUUUUUCAGUUCGCCGUUUUCUUGCCGGAUCUGUUUUCGUGUCUGUUGUUGUUUGCAUAGUCAUGAUGCCUCAAAGAAAAUAUUAUGAUGUUCCUUACCCCAAUAUUUUACUUGAAUUUGAGAAAGUACUAAGGAAUAUAUGACUACACAAUUUGAGCAUAAUAAGUAUUUUACCGAAGAGCUUAAGGAACACUCCGUUGUGCUUGAUGCUAUAACAAAACAACUUGAUGCCAUUAGUAGAUAAGUUUGCAAUCUCCAAUCUAAGUAUGAUUUUGCUGAAAGUUUGCUAGAAAAAUAUCCGAUGCACAAGCUACUCUAGUUAAUCAAAUGGCCGCUAAACCAAUCUCACUAGAGGAUAAAAGUGAUGAAGAUCUUAAAAUGAUUGGUGUUUCUUCUAUUGAUUCCUUGUUUAGUAAAGUUAAUAUUGAUGAAAAAGGGACUGGAGAAGAGUCAACUUUAGGUAGAAGGCGUCCCAAUAUUUCAGAGGGUGAACAUCUUGAUGAGAAAAUUGAUAAAAGUGGGUUUGAAGAGGUCAAAACUUUAGCUAGUGAUGCGCCCACUCUUUUGGAUUACAAAGACUUUAAUUAUGAUAGUAUCUCUUUGAUUGAUUGUAUUUCUUUGUUGCAAUCCAUGAUAAAUCCACCCCAUGCUUAUGAACAAAAUAAAGCUUUUACUAAACAUAUUGUUGAUGCUAUGAUGAAAGCUUUUGAAGAAAAAUUGGAAUUAUAAGUUUAAAUUCCUAGGAAAUUACAUGAUGAAUGGGAACCUGCUAUCAAAGUCACGAUUAAAAAUUAUGAGUGUUUUGCUUUGUGUGACUUGGGUGCUA
RNAcentral lists this long non-coding RNA (56133 nucleotides) under Triticum aestivum (bread wheat). RNAcentral's name for it is "long non-coding RNA (TAES_LNC010411)". The record is from RNAcentral. Lineage: Eukaryota; Viridiplantae; Streptophyta; Magnoliopsida; Poales; Poaceae.